This 79185-nucleotide long non-coding RNA is filed under the name Sorghum bicolor (sorghum). RNAcentral describes it as "long non-coding RNA (SBIC_LNC015790)". The record is from RNAcentral. Lineage: Eukaryota; Viridiplantae; Streptophyta; Magnoliopsida; Poales; Poaceae.
UCAUGAUCUUAUUAUCCAUCAAAUUUGUCUUGCUCACUAUGCUUAAGGUUAGAGAAGAACAAAUACACUUUUGGUUCUGUUGGUGUUUUCCACCAACAGGACCCAUGCACUUGAUCUCUGCCUUGUCUCUAUGAGCAGGUACACUUCGAGCAAAACAUGGAGGAGUUUUAUAACUCCCAGAUUCCACCAAGUGAAGGACAUGGAUCUACGAGGACAAACACACUGAGCAAGACACUGCCAACACCGCACUUCGAACUACUGGGCAAACAAAGAACAUGGGUGACACCGUAUUAAGAGGUGCAGACAUCAAGGUCCACACCUGAAUCAAAUGACGCACCUGAAGAAUGAACACGGUGAGAAGUCUUGUUCAGAAGACUUAAAAUAUUGAACCCUCGCCGAAAGGUAAAAUCGGUAAUUAUCCAUAUUUAUCCUUUCUACAUUCCCUUUCUCCUUUAGUUAUUUACUUUCCUUAAAUGGCUUGUUAGUUAAUUAUGCUAUCUUGAAAAGAAAAUGAAAAUGUUAAAAAUAGUAAGCCCUAUGUGAGUAUGCUCGUGGCAUAAAACCCAUAAGUACAUUCACUGUGGUGGCGUAAAAAUAAAAUAAAUAUAUUCCUGUCCUAUAAAAAUGAGAAUAUAAAAAUAAAUUUAUGAUCCUACCAAAAAGAGUAACAUUUAUUGAGGAAGCUCAAUAUGAUAAAGGCUAGAUAUUUAUGCUAACACUUAACGAGUUCCACAAAACUUUGUUGUCUAUUUUGAGCUCCACAGAAUUCAAGGAUCAAAGAAGACUAGCAAACGGAGGACAUCCUAAUCGCUGUCAGGGUGCUGUCGACAUUCAAAUACACCUCCGUCACCUGCUAGCUACAUCAGAAGAAAUUACGUCAAAAUCCAGCUUGGGGGAGAGCACCCCCAUUUAUCUAGCUAAGUGUUUCUACUCGUGUUUAUACUUUACUCAAAUAAUAAAAAGAUGCAUAAUAAAAAAAACCCAAAUAAAGAUUUUAUGCUUAUAUAUAUAUAUCUUUGCUUAGUUUGCUAAAUAAAUAAAUAAAUAAAGUUUGCUAUGAACCCUCAUGAUAAGCUCUCACAUGGAAAUGAUGAAUAGUUGCUCUGCCAUGACUAGUUCUCAAAAUUGAAAUCUCUCUCAAGUUUAGGCAUGACUGUUAUGAAUUAAGAUUUGCUCUAAACCUAAACUUGUGGGAAGAGUACUUGAUCUAAAGUCUAAGUCAUUAACGGAUAUGAUAUGGGAAGGUUGAGCUGCUGUUUAUCUGUUCCUAGAGAUGCUAGAAUUCUGGAGAAUUUUUGAAUAUCUUUAAAAUGUUGCAUGAUGAGUUCCUGUAUGAUGAGAGUUUAAAAUCCUACCACAGCCACAUAUACAUGCUUAUGAGACUAUGAACCAUACAUUUACUUUUUACUGCUUAUGAGCAUUGAGUGUGGUCAAGCUAUGUAGACCCUUAGUAGCUUGUCAUGCGGUUAUAAUCAAGAUUCACUUGCGCGUCCACUCAUACAUGCUGCUUCUACUCCAAAAGUAUGCAUCCACAUACAUCCACUCCUUUCCAUCUCCAGAUUCACCUAAAAUUAUUCUACUCCUAUCUAGGAGAGAAUAGCCAAAAACAUUAUCCCAUUCCUGUUUUUCCCUGUGAAAUAAAUGCUCGAGCUAUUUUGGUUACUACCACUUGCUACAUUAUUCCAGGAGGGUGAGUGCUCCGAAAAAAAAGAAGAAAAAUACGAGGAAAUAAAAAGGGGCAAGUGCCCGGAACCUCGAAAGAAAAAAGAAAAAGUGAGACGAGAGGUAAAAAUGGACAAGUGUCCGACAGUAGAAUUAGGGGUACAAGAUACCCACCUGAGAGAAAAGAAAAAGAAAAUAUAGAGCAUCUCAUUCCUCUCAAAAAAACCUUCAAAGUGCAAGAAAGGUAUGUAUCCCCUCAAAAGAGCAAAAGUAGAAUUAGACUUUCACCAUUAUUUUCACCAUUAUCACCAUCAUCACCAUACACCAUUCAUCCACCACACAUGCACAUCUUGGUUUGACUUAUUGACUUGUUUCUCUGGAUCCAUGGUUUGACUAUGCAAUAAAUGUCUUGUAAGUAUGUAUUAGCUGUCUCCCACCUAUGAGCUCCAGAUACCAAACCUUAUUAGAGUAGGGUGAGAAAGAAGGCAAUAUCAAUAUGCCUCAUACCACAAAUACUACAUACUUUGAGAGAAGGCGUAUAUUAUCACUGCCUUGGUAAGGAUCCAGAAAUACCACAAAAGAGAGACUAGAGAGAGUCAUACAAGAAAUCUCUGAGUUUUAUUUGAAAAUCUGCAAAAACUCCAGAGCUAUAGUUGAUCAAAGAACAAGAGACAUGGUACUUGACUUGACCGUUCUAUCUCUUAACUGCUCCAGACACAAGUGACGGCUGCAAGCCCCAUGGCACUACAAGAAAUCUCAGAUUUUAUGAUAAACAAUAUUUGUCAUGUAAAGUAAAGAAAUAGUCACAAAAUGUUUGGCAUGACGAAAAACCACCGUCAUGGAGGUCGUCAUAUAUCGACCAUCGCUAAAUGUACCUUGUGACAAUAUUAAGCAAAGUCGUCAUAUAAUGGGUUAACGUUUUGUGACGGUUAUACCAUAUCGUCGUAUAAUGUUUACCUUUAAUGACGGUUGUCGUCGUCACAUAUUUGCUGGUCAACUCGUCGCAUAUAAUACGUCACUGUCACAAUAUGCCUCGGGGGGACCAAGAUUCAGUCUAUUUUUUGUGACGAGACUGUUGCGUCUUAUAUAGUCAUGCAUAUGUUGUGACGCUAUUUUUGUGUCUUGCAAUGUAAGGAAGUUAGAUAAAUCUGAGACGACUCCAGGUUGUCAUACAUUUUCAUUUCAUUCCGUGACGAAGGCUCUAGUGUAUGUAUCAAUUGCAAUUCAUGACCAAUGUCACACAUCAUCAUUCCCAUCAUAGCUCAUAAAUCAUACACAUUUUAGGCAAGCCAUCAUCGACAUAUACACUCUAGACUAUAAGACACAAUGUUUGCAAGUUGAAAUACAUCAUAGUAGUUCUAGGUUCCAUCACAUAGGUUCAAAUCCACCAUACAGGUACAAACAUAAAAGCAGAUGCAAAUAAGUUCAGAUACUUGGUUCUACAAAUUCAGAUACUUGGUUCUAAAAACACAGUGAAACAAAAGUUCAUAGAUGUUAUUCUGGCAAAGGCAUCAGAAAUAGAAGCUGCAUUCAAACCUAGACCUCAAUCUUUCUAAAGUUUCAGCAUAGCCCGCAGCAGUGCAUUUGUGUCUUCAAACUUGGUAUGCAUCUCCUUCACUUCAUCUUGGGUCUGGCGCAACAAAGUUUGGUUUUCCUCAAGAGCUGCUUGGUUUGCUAGAAGCGAGGCCUGUUGAGCUUGAAGCUGUGCUUGUAGCUCUUCCUGAUGCCUAGCAGCUUGCUCUCUUUCAGCUUGCAGUGUUGCCUCGAACCGAGCUUGAAGGCGUGCUUCAUUGACUGUUGUUGUGGACCGGCUAGUCUUCGACACUCGAGCGACACCGAUGUUUGGAAGGAAGGUGGAUGAUCGGCAGAUCUGGCUAAGACUGUCAGCAACAAUCCUAGAGGGGCUCUUUUGUUCUUCUCCUUCAUUUGGUUCUCUUUCCUUCUCCAAAACCAUUUGUUCCUACAUGGAAUGAAUGCACUUAGUAACAAGGCCAAACAUCUUAGUUGAAUCUAGCAAUUUAUUGGUCAUAGUACAUAUAUCCAUUAAUUAUUGUACUUACAUAUAUGUCAUUUGCAAGAGGAGUACGGCCAUUUUGUGGGCUAUUCAUACACUCCCCAAAGAAUUCAAUAGGAUCUGGUUCCAUAUUGUUAUACUUCGGCCUCUGCAGCAUGCAAAAAUCUUGGGUUACAAUGACAUAAGUGAAGGUAUAUACAAGGCUAGACAAACAUGGGAUAUAAGAUGAGGCAUAAUUUUGUUUCAUGUAAACAGCAAGAUGCUAAGAAAUGUAAGCAGUAUAGGAACAUACAAUUGUGUGCUAGUUGCUAACAUAUUUUUUUUAUGGCAACAGCAAAGGAAAUCACAGGCAAUCAAUUAAUUAGUGCUAUGCUUUGUCAAUCAACAUUCACACCUAUUUGAUUCCCAGUUGGCCAUUAUCAUCAUAAAAAAUUCUGCAUCAAAGAAAGCAUGAAUAUCCAUACCAGGCUGUAUCGAUGGGCAAUAUAGGACCUAGAUCCUGUCCUUUGGUGAAGCUGCACUUGGCCUCGGUUGUCUUUGUUCUUAGUUGAUUUCUCCUACAUUAAAAAUGGAAAGCACAUGUUUCAUUCACAUGCUCAAUUUGCUUUGCAUAUUAACAAAAUCAGAUAGUGGACAUGGACCUGAUUAGUUGGGUCACACCAGUACUCAACCAACUUGAUCCAUUCCUCUUUCUGCAUUUUCGGUGGGGGUUCUUUGGCCAACAAUUGUUCUCUAGUCAGUGAGGGGUCGAAGUACUUCUUCUUCAGGAGAUACCUUUGUUGCCUUAGUCCCCUCUUAAUGAUAUCAGUGCAUGCAUCUUUGCUUGGUCCCUCUGACUUAAUAUCAACAUCCAACCUUGACUAUAAGCACAGAAAUUAAAUACUAGACUUAAUUUAUAAUUCAGAGUACUGUAAUGCAUGAAAAUAUUAGGAAGAAUGAAAUAGCUCACUCACCGCCACUUUUCUUAGCACUUUUGCAACUUCUGCUUGCCCAACAUCAUUAUCAUAAUCUUUCCAUUUUGUAUAUAUUGGUAGGUUGUCUCUAAGGGCUACACCACAUUCUGAUGCCAGCUUUGCUGCUUGAAGUGGCACGUCAGGUCUUUUCUUCCCAGGAGCCACCUCAAUAGCAAGCUUCUUUCCUCUAUUAAGCAUCUUCUCUAAACCAUGGCCCAAUGUUCUCUUGCGAACAUUCUUUUUGGGAGCUGCAUCUGCACAUAACAACAAAAAUGUUUUAUUAUAGCAGUAGCAAUUGUAGAUAUUGAAUAGGGAAACUAAUGCUUCGAAACACAAAUUAUUUACCUGCAGAGUCAUGGACUGGUUCUCCUUCAAUUGUAUGUCCCUCAGAAUUAGGAGUAUCACAUUGAGGAGAUGAUACAUUGAUGUCAUUGCUUUGUCGGCUGCUUUGUGCACCUGGUGAGUUUUCUGCAGGAACUGUUUGGUUAUUGCUGUUUGUGGGAGUAGGUUCUUGAGGUAGGCUAGCACUGGUUCUAGUAAUAGUAGGCACUCUGUAAGCACCAGGUGAAGACAUGGCUGCACUAGUCCUUGUGAAUCUACGUGGACUAGGCACUGUAUUUGGGGCAGGUGAGGAGUUCGCUGCAUUGGCCAUAAUGUUUCCCAAAGAAGUAGGCACAGUGUUUGUAGUGUCUGUGGUUAGGGUGGCGCUAGUGAGAUGGCCAUGCAAAUGGCUGGCAUUGGGAAUAGCAUUUGUAUCAGUGUUGGCUUUGUCUUGGCUUGGCUUAGGUGGUGGACGGGCUGCAGUGGUCUUUGGAGGCAAGUUUUGUCUUGGCUUAGGUGGUGGACGGCCUGCAGUUUUCCUAGGGUCUGCACUAGGCGAAUACAUGGCAGCCUGAGCCUUGGUAAAUCUGGUUGGUGUGCGCGGUGGCUGCUGAUUGGUAGCCGCCUUUUGCUUCUUCUGUUGAGGGCGAGCUCCUGGAGCCAUUGGUCUUACCUGGCAAGAGAAACGUGCAUCUUAUAAGUUAAGAACACAACAACAAAGAGUGAUAAGUACAAUGAUGUAUGUGUUGAGCUAUAGAAGGAUAUGUAUGCUUGAAAAUUGGCCCAGUGUUUCAUCUCACCUCAGUAUUGAGGUCAUCAUCAUAAUCAUCAUCAGAAUCAGAUUUGUUAUCAAUGUCAGAUGAUGGAUCAUAUUCAUUGUCAGAAUCUGGUUUUCCAGGCACUAGGCUCUUCCCUUUGCCCUCUUUCUCACAUUUUGAGAAAGCAUUUCUAACAGUUUUUGAUAACACAGGAAUACCCAAUGACAUAAAAACAUCCUGGACCAUCUUAAUGUUCUGGUCCCUCUGCAGCUCAUACUGAGAUUUUGGCAUUUCCUUUAACAAUUUUAAUGAUGCAACCCAGAAAUAGCAGAAACUUUUAACAGUUUCUGUAAAAAAAAUUGAAGGAAGUCUAAUAGUUAGUCCAAGAGUAGUAAAUUAGCUAGUAUGAAUGAAAGAGCUUGACAUGCAGAAUACUAUAAACAUGGUGCUUUUUCUGUCACACGGCAACAAAGUUCAAUACUGAAUGACACGUUUAGCUCCUGAGGCAUGGACACUUCAAAUCAAAUACUAUGACAACUGAUGACUACAAUGAUAAGUUCCAUAUUAGUUCGAAACAUGAAAGUACCUCUAAAUGUAACAGUUAGCAUGCACAGACAUGCACAAACAAAGUCAAGAAUAGGACUUCAAAGUAAAGAAUAGGACUAACACUUCAAGCAUAGACAGUGCACUUCGAGCACAGACAAAACAAAGCAUGUAGUAAUAGAAUAGUACUUACUCUGACGAGCAGACGGGAAGACGAUAGAUGGGGAGCUGGGUCCCCGCGGAGGUAAGGACAGCGUGUUGGGCGGGCGUUGUUGUUGACAGCGGGAUUGGCUGCUCCGGGCUCUAGGCUCUCGUGUUGCUAUCGACGGCGGGAUGGUGGCUUCGGGCUUCGAGCUCCGGUGGAUCCAAGAACUGGCGUAGGUGUAGUGGUGAGAUGGGGGGCUUCGCAUCCCCGUGGAGGUCCUAACGGCGGGACGGGCGGUGCCGGAUCUGGGCCCUGCCGCAGGUGCGGCGGCUAGAUAGGCGAAGGGCGGCACUAGGUUUACGGGAGGGAGGAGGAGGCCAUGGCUGCACUGAGUGGAGCCAUGCUGAGCGCUGAGGAUAAUGCCGGAUGAGUGGGGGAUUUUGGCCAUGCUGAGCGGGAGUCAUGGUGGGUUCCAUUUGUCGGUGACCGAGUGAGGGCGGGAGAGCUCCAAGGUGUAGGUGCCAAUUUUAGGUUCUGGACAGUGGGUCCUCUAUGUCAGUGACUAUAUUAGUAGUAGUACCAACUAAUUGAGUUUUUUGGAGUAAUAACUUUCAUCAAAUGUAAAAAAUGUCAGAAACAAAGUUGUGUAAUGCAGUGAGAUCUACCAUUUUGAUUUUGGGGGAUUUGUCAUAAGACUUUGUCUUGAAUUUGAAAAUAUUAGAACUUCGAACAAAUUUUUUAGAUACUUUCUUAUUUCAAAUGAAAAAUUCAUGAACAUGAAAGUUUCUCAACUCAUCAAUAUCUUUGACUUUUAUUAAGGUCAUUUCUUCAUCCAACAAACUUAUAGAAAUCUUAUUCACAAAUUCCAUGCAUCAUACUUGUUGUUUCAUAAACUAGAAGUGAGAUGCAUAGAAUUUGUGAACAACGUUUAUAUAACUUUUUCAGAUGAAAAAAUGACCUUAAUAAAAUUCAAAGAUAUUGAUGAGUUGACAAACUUUCAUGUUGAUUACUUCUGUAGUUGGAAUCAUUAAGAGUUUCAAAUAUUGGCUUAAAGUUGUCAUUUUUGGUAAACUCACAUUAUGAUUUGUGCAAUCUUUGUCACAUGAAAUGAUGAUCACAAGAAACUCAAUAAAAUGAUAGAGCAUGAAUUUAGAAAAAUUUAGGAAAAAAAGCAUCGCAUUUCGAGUAUGUAUGUGGGAGAAAUACUAGUUACAAUUUUUUUAUAUGGAUUAAAAAGAGAAAUGAUGCUUCCAUACUGAGUUCAUUGCAUCCAAGGCUAAGAACCAUAUAGGGCCCACUUGUCAGUCACACAUUGGACCCAAAUGUCUGCCAAUGCUCACUUCAAUUCGGGACCCACAUGUCAUUGGGGGCACUUAGCAAAGCAGAGUUGGAGAGGCACUUAGGCACCUCUCGGCCAGUGCAGAGGGCACUCCUGGGCAGGGGCACGCCGGCGGUCACCCCACAUCACCGUCGCCAUCCUCACUGUUGCUCUCUUGCCAGCCCCAUUACUGCUCCUCACCUUGCCUUGCUGAUGUCGCACUGCUCCACACUGCUGCUACUUCAUCGUUGACCCCAACGACUACCUCGCCGGUGAACCCGAGUACCAGCCUCGUGCGUCCCACUGGUGCUCCCAUGCUGGCCAUCCGCACUGCUGCCUCACCACCCCCUCACCUACAGCAUCUGCAGCUGCUGCCUCGGCACCCCCCUCGCCACCAGAUCUGUAGCUGCUGCUGCUUCGACGGCUAGCAGCUAGAUGGUGCUGCUACAUUAGGUCGAUUUGAACAAGGUGGGUUUUUUCUGUUCAUCAAUGACUUGUUGGUUUGUAAGACCUCAUUUAGGUUAUAGGAUUUCCACAGGAUUUUUCAGUGGAUACUUGGUGCAUUUUGCAAGUUGUUGUGUUUAAAUGACACAUGACAAUGUCAUUGAAUGACCAUAAUCUGUCAUAUAAAGUAUGGAAUUUGUCACAAAAGGCACAUGCUACAACUUAUAUGUUUUCACCAUGUUGAAAAUUCAAUUCCUAUAAGAUUAAUGGAGAUCAAUUCCUAACAUGUUGGCACCUCAAUUCAUGCAGAUCAAGAUGGACAGAAGCUGGAUUUAUAACAGCUUACCAUUUACUGAACCCUAUAAGGCUGGUGUUGAGAAAUUCAUGCAACAUGUUAGAAGUAGAUUCAGAGCAGAUGAAAAAAUCAAGUGCCCAUGUCGUCGAUGCCUAAACCACGUAGAAAAAAGUCAAGAUGAGGUAGAAGAGGAUAUACACAUCAAUGGUAUGUCUAGGAUCUAUACAAGGUGGAUUGAACAUGGAGAGGGAGAUGAUAAUGAUGUUGACCAAGAUGGUGGCACACUAGCUAUUGAACAGGAUUUGUCUUGGGAUGAAAAUGACCAAGCUCCACUUGAUGAUGAAGUGCAAGGUGAAGAUGUCAUAGAAGAUAGUGCACGGGGAGUUCAAGGGUUGAUUCAAGAUUUGUACACUGCAGCAAGCCAUGGACACAGUGGUAACUUAUAUAAAGAAAUCAUGGAAGAGGCUAAGCGAGAGCUUUAUCCAGGUUGCACCGAAGAGUCAAGGCUAAGUUUCAUUGUUAAGCUCCUACAUAUAAAAGUGUACAAUCGGAUACCAAAUUCUACGUGCAGCGAUUCUUUGGGCAAUCCAUGACUACCCUGCAUUAGGCACCAUGUCAGGAAGAACCACCAGGGGUUACUUCGCAUGUGUCCAUUGUGAUGAGAAUCCAUGCUCUGAAUGUCUAACAAACAAAAUUGGAUUCAUAGGUCAUAGACGUUUCCUCCCAGAUGGCCAUACUUGGAGGAGAAAUAGAUCUUUCAAUGGCCACCAAGAAAAUAGAGAGAAGCCAAGGAAAUUUAGUGCAGAUGAGGUUAUGGCAAGGUUGGAUGAAGUUUCCUAUGUUCCUGGCUAGAAUCCAGAAAUGCCAAAAUCAAGAAAACGACGCCGUGAUGGAGAACCAGUUUGGCAUGUGAAGGCUAGCUUGUAUGAUUUGCCAUACUGGUCAAAAUUGAAGCUACAAUACAACCUUGAUGUUAUGCACAUAGAGAAAAACAUAUGUGAAAACAUUUUGUCAACUCUACUUAAUAUUCCAAACAAGACAAAGGACACAAUUGCUGCUAGAAUAGAUUUGGAAGAAAGAGGUAUAAGAAAGGAGCUUCAUUUGCUAAAUGACAGUGGUGCUGCAUCUUCAAAGCCAAGAGCUUGUUACGUUCUAACACCAGAAGCAAAAAAGAAGUUUUUGCAAUUUGUGAGCAAUGUUAAGUUUCCUGAUGGCUAUGCCUCCAAUAUAUCAAGAUGUGUCAAUAUGGAGGGAGGAGGAUCAAUGCAUGGGCUGAAAACACAUGACUGUCAUAUACUACUGCAGCGUAUUUUACUAGCUGGCCUUCGUGGUUUAGUGCGCAAAGACGUAUACGAAGUCAUUGCUGAAGUGGGUAGGUUUUUUACGCAACUUUGCUCCAAAACUCUAAAGGUUGAUGCAUUGAACAAGAUGAAGGAAGAUAUUGUACUUAUCCUUUGCAAGUUGGAGAAAAUUUAUUCUCUUGCAUUCUUUGAUGUCAUGGUUCACCUAGCUGUACACUUACCUGAUGAGGCACUCCUUAGGGGACCGGUUCAGUAUGGAUGGAUGUAUCCCAUUGAGAGAAGAUUGGGCACCUUUAAGCGUUUCAUCCGCAAUAAAGCAAGACCUAAAGGAUCUGUGUAGAGGCAUACACUGCCUAUGAGUGCAUGACCCAGUGUUCAACAUAUUUCAGUGACAUUAUUAAUAGGUUCACUAGGCCAGAAAGAAACAUAGAUGGACAACAUAGCACCUCACCCAAUGGUUACUGUAUUUUUGAUCAUGGGAUUAACCUAUUGGGUGCUUCAAAACUUCAUUACGAAGAUAAAGACUAUGACUCCAUGGUUUGGUUUGUUCUAAAUAACUGUGAAUACGUUGAUGAAUACAAAGAGUGAGUAAUUUUUGACAUUUCUUUUCAGCCUACUUUAUUCAAUACUUGUGUCACAUUAAACUAAUUAACUUCUUUCUUCCAUUCCAGCUUGUACAGGGAAGAAUUAGAACAACAACAAGUCAACGAUAUUGAAAAAGUGAUCUCAACACAUUUCGCUCAAUGGUUUGAGAAACAUGUGUGUGCAGCUUUUACAACACGAAUCAAUAUUUUUGAUACAAUACAUUAUGAAACAUCCUAAUUAUGUAUGUCUAUAACCUACAGAUUACCAGAUUGAAAUAUGAAGGCACAACAGAUGUUGAUGAAGACCUGUACUCACUCGCAUGUCGGCCAGAUAGGCGUGUGCGUUCAUACACAGCUUGUAUAAUCAAUGGGGUACGGUACGACACUGUGGCCCGUGAGGAAUACCGGAAGACACAUAACUCCACCAUCAAAACUGCAGGUACUCACAAUGAUGACACUAUUGACUUCUAUGGGACAAUCACAGACAUCAUUGAGUUGACUUACAAUAAGAACAACAAAGGAGAUAGAUCUAUUGUCUUAUUACGGUGUGAAUGGUACCAUCUAGAGGGAAGGACAUACCAGAUGAAAGAUGAUGGUUACUUCAAGAGCAUUAACAUCCAAGGCCGAUGGUAUAAGAAUGAUCCUUUCAUUCUUGCCACAGAAGCUUCACAAGUUUUCCUCUUGGAAGAUACAAAGUUAGGUCCAUCUUGGCGUGUGGUACAAGACUUUGGGCAUAGACAUAUAUUUGAUGUCGAUGAGUCUGACAACAACCAACAAAUCCAUGAACAAGUACAGAUGAGAUGUCUAGAGGCAUAUCAAGAAGAGAAUACUUUGUCCAGAGAUGGUACAGUGGGAGACAUUUAUCCUGAUAUGGAUUUGUUGCACAUGGAAAAUGAACCAGGAAGCCCUGUUAGUAGAGACCUUGUCGACAGCAUCCGUCGCAAUCAACAAAUAGCUCAAGGUGAUGAAACAUAUGUUGUAGAUGAAGAAGAAGAAGAUGAAACCUUCCUUGAGUACCAUAGUCCAGAUGAAGGCAACAUGUCAGAGGACUACAGUGAUGGUGACUAACCUUCGCAUUUUUCUACCAAUUUGUAGUCCACUCACUCUUGUUAGUGCUCCUGUUGUAUUUGUCAACUUCUACCAUUGAUGAUGACUAACUAUUGCAUUUGUAGAACCAUUUGUGCACUAUGAACUUGUAUGAGUGAUUCUGUUUCCACUGUAUACUUGAUGUGUCAAAAAAGUUACAGUUCUCAGAAACAUUCACAUAAAUCUGCCCAGAUUUUUAGGUUAUAAUGACACAGGACAAUGUCAUGAAAUGCAAAUAAUUUGUCAUGCAAUGUAGAAAUUUUGUCACAAAAUGUACUGGCCAGAAAAAACUUCCUAGAUUUCUCUGUUAUCAUGACCAAAGACAAUGUCAUUAAAAGUACACAAGCUAUCACAAAAGAUACAUGCACACAACAGAUGUCCAAGGGGACAAAGGCCCAUAGUUCAUAACAAAGACAAAUCUAGCAUAAUAGGUUCAUUACAUCAUUUUCACCAACACCCUGCUUCAUCAGCCUUGCCUACUUGAACACUACAGCUAGCACCAAACAGAUGCCCAACACCUUCAUUAGCCUUGCCUACUUGAACACUACAGCUACAACCAAUAAAAUGGCCAACAGUAGAAACAGUGUUACAUUCACACAUCCACAGACUAGACAUAUGCAGCUUGCCAUGCCAUCCUUGUUCUUCACUACCACUUCAUUCAGCUUGUUCAGGCUUUGGGUGAAGCUUUCAAUCUUGCCUACGUCCAUGGCAACUUUUGUCGUCCUCGCAGCUGAUUGUAUAUAUCCAUUAUCCUAUAGAUAGAGCACAUAUUCUUCCUCAAACCAAUAGCUAGAACAUGUCACCUGCACCACAUUGCAAAUCAAUUAAAUUUGGUCAACGAAGAUUAAAAAUUGGGGUCCAAAAAACUGUCACAGCCAACAGCACUCACAUAGCUUUGCCUAGCACACUUGAAGUAUCUUUUUUCACGGUUAACCUCAGAUUUCAUGGUAGUGGCAGCAAGCACCCUCCUAUCCUUACAUUCAGGGCACUCUAUCAAUGGCAACUUCGACACUUCAUCAAUUGGCGCCUCCGGAUCGACAGUUCCAGACAUGUCAGGUGGUGAUGUCCGCCGAGUGCGAGCAGUACAUGACGACACCUGAGACAUGAGGCCUGAUUGAGAGACAUGGGCUCAUUAGGUCAUCGACAAAUAUUUCCUCAUGAAAAGCAUGGACAAUUUAUCAUUGCCAUUGGAAAUAAGCUUAGAAUAGCUACAACAUGAACAACAGCAGCAGCACUAGCUUGGACUUGAGCUCAGGUAAAUUAAUUAGAAGGACAGCUACUAAUAAUCAUUCAAUCUACAUGAAUUCUCUAUGUUGUUGGACACUCCUAGCUGCACUUGAACGCCGAUUGAGACUGGUAGAUGACGAGGCCUGAGACAUUAUCACUAAAUAAAAUGGAUAUUAAUUAGGCAUAGCAUUACACAUCAAUUAGGGAAGAUAACUCUGUGAAACAAAACAAGUUGAGGGAGAUGAGCAGAGGGGGGACGCGGAGGGGGAUGAGGGUGCAUCGAAGGUGUCCGAGAGGGGGAAGAGGGUGGGUGGCACCUGGGGAGAAGGCCAGAGCCUGGCGCGCCUAGGAUUGGAGAGAGGGAUAUACCUACCUCCACCGGUGCCUUGGUCCCCGCUGAAAUCACCGAGAUGCUGCCCUAGACUCCGCCCACCAGCGCCCAAACGCCGCCACGCUGUCGACGGGGAAGAGGGAUAGGGGACCCGCCGCACCGUCCUCCACCACUCGCCGUCGGCCCCUCGCUCCGUGCUCACCUCCCUCCGCCACGCCCGCAGCGACCUCGCCUCCCUCCCUCAAUUCAGUUGACGCCGGGAAGAUGGGGAAAGUGAAGUGGUCAACGUAUAUGGAUAGGGUCGACCUACAAGGAGUAUAUUUACUCUGUGAAUGGCAUUUUUGGAACUUACUUAUUGUGACACAAUUUAAACAUCACAUAAAGUCACACCAUAGUGUCAUAAAAGGACAAACGACGACGGGUGCCCCGUGUUUGGCAAUUUGUGACGAACCUGAUGACCUUUAUGUGACAUAUUAGACACUAUCGUCACAAAUACAUCUAGGUCUCACAACUUUGUGACGACACAAAAAAUAUCGUCAUAUAAAGCCAUAUUAUGUGACAAAAACUUUCCCCGUCAUAAGCUAUUUUGUCACAAAAAGAUAGAUUUCUUGUAGUGUGGUGGAAGGUAAUAUGAGUAAGUUUAAAUCUUAACAGUUUACCCUAACCUAUAGAUGAGAUUUUGUUUAAAUGCAUGUGUACCUUUAAGGCAUAAAACCACUGCAGAAACUCUUGAGUCCAUCCUUGCUCAGGGGCGAGCAAGAGGUAAGCUUGGGGGAGUUGUUGACGGUCCUUAAGUACCAAAUAUAAUCAUCAAAUAAACAAAGAAAAGGAUCCAAAUACAACCAACAUCUAAACUUAGGGUUUUAUCUGACAGAAUUCCACGAGUUUUGGUGUUUGUCUAUUUCUACAGGGUGUUAUCAGAAAAUAAGGAAGAAAGGCCCACAUGUCGGGUUUACAUAGAGAUAUUAUCGUGCCGCGCAAUUUUCUAUCAUCUGGAAGACUCCAGAAGCCAUGCACAAAAAAAAGAAGACUCCAGAAGACACGGGAACGAAUGGGAGGCCGAACGGGCCUGGGGGCAGGGUGCCCGCCCUCCCCCCUUAGGCGCCCACCCUGGAGUUUCAACCAAUCACGCUCAAUCUCAUGGAUUAUGCUCCACCGACCUAAAGGAUCAAGAAUAACCAUUCAAACAAUGUCGGUUUGAUCCGACGGCCCAGAUUCACUUGAGGGGACUAUAUAAGCAGACCCCCUGGCCCCUAAAGGAGGCACCCAUUGAUCAUUAUUCAUUAUUCAUAGACAGAGCAAAAGCUAGGGUUUAGAGAUGAGAGCUCUCCUCUCUUCUAUAAACUAGAGUAGAUCUAGAUAGUAGCGAGAUGGAGAGUGAAGGAGGAUUAGAGGAGAGGCUGGCCUGUCGGUUCUUCCUCUGGUUGUACUUCGCCAUGAUCAAGCUCUAAUCAAGCUUGCUCAUGGGAUGACUCUGGUAAUCUACUUCUAAUUCAUUAUGCAAUUAGUAAUCAUGUAUGUUCUGGUUCACAACUCUUUUGAGUACUUCUAAUCUAUAGGACCCUAUAGGUUAGAGUUGUAGUAUAGGUGUAAGCGUGGUGCUUAGACCUAGAUUACUUGUGGAUAUCCCCUGUCUAGCUGGAUCGUGUGGUAGGCCGCGUAGGUGACAGUUACGUUGGUCCUCUGUAGUCCACCUCUCGUUAGCAGGAUGGGUAGGGUUUAUCGGCCUAUGGAUAAGCAUCAUUUGUGGUGUACUCUUAUCACGUGGUUCGUCCCAGACAUAGACAUACCCCUUUGAAGUAGAGAAACCAUAGUUAUCCUCACUAUUCUGCUACCAUCGCCCAUAUACUAGAUUGCUCAACUCUCUAUUCCCCUAUUAUUACCCAUUGUUAUCUUACCUUUAAUAUUGUUCUUAUUCAAUUCUACCAUCUUUCCUAUUUACACUUAUCUAUCUAUCUUGGUUAAGUUAGAGCGUAGUUGGUUCUCCCGUUUUCCUGUGGAUACGAUAAAACCUUUAACCGGGUAAAAGCUUCAACGGUAUCCGUGCGCUUGCGGAUUAUCUGUGUGCGUAUAAAUACCAUAGUACACUCUAGUGCCAUGCUGGGGAUGACAACCUAGUAUUCAAGUGGUGUUAGCAAGUGUCAACACUAAACUUCAUAACAGUUCACUCUAAUCUGGAAGAAUUUUUAUGUAAAAGCAUGUGUGCCUGUCAGGAAAGAAAACAUCGAAGCAACUCUUGAUCCAUCUGAGUUUAGCUGUUUGCUCAGGGACGAGCAAAGGGUAAGCUUGGGGGAGUUUGUUGACGGUCCUUAAGUACUAAAAUUAAUAAUCAAAUAAACAUGGAAAAGGAUCAAUAUGAAACAAACAUCUAGAAUUAGGGUUUUAUCUGACAGAAUUCCACGAGCUUUGGUGUUUAUCUAUUUCUGCAGGGGGUUAUCAGAGAAUAUGUAGUGAAGGGCCACAUGUCAUGUUUACAACGAGAUAAUUACGUGCCGCGCAAUUUUCCUCAAUCUAGAAGAGUCCAGAAGCCACGGGAAGGAAGCGGAGGCCGAACGGGGCCAGAGGCAGGGCGCCCGCCCUCCUGCCCUGGGCGCCCGCCCUGGGAUGGACUCCAAUCAGGACUCUGUUUCGGGGCUAAACUCCACCGACCUAAAGGAUCAAUCUAAACCAAACAAUCAAUGUCGGUUUGAUCUGACGGCCCAAAUCAUUAUUCAGAGGUAGCCAUCAAAGUUAGGGUUUAGAGCUUCUCUCCCACAGAGAAUUAGAAUUAGCUACUCCCUAAUCCUUCAAGUUUAGAGGUUUGAUUAGAUAGCAAUUAGAGAAGUAGAGCACUACGCUCUGGAUUUGGAUCUUCGGUAAUAAAGAUUGGUAUUAUUCAUAUCUUUCUCUAAUUCUUUGUUCUAAUUGCAUUAUGUCUCUAAUUAUUAUGUUCUUAGUUUGCUCUAGUUCUAUAUUUGAUAUAGUUAUGAUUGAUAAUGAGUUUAUGUAUAAGUUUGCAAAGCGCUUAACUCUUGACGCGAGGGAGUUAGGUGAUAGAUCACAUGUGACCGUGGUGCUUAGAUGUUAUUUAUCUGCAAAUGUAUCCUAUUGGCCGGGUCGUGUGGUAGUUCGCGAUAGUGACAGCUUCGUUGAUUCUUAUAUAGUCCACAAUCCGUUGAUAGGACAGGCAGAACCGGUAUUGUGGAGUAAGUCGUGCGAUGCUCUGAUUUACUUUAGCAAUGUUCCUUAUACAUGAAUGAAGAGUCUUUUAUGCUAUAUAUGAUCUUGUAGAUAACUAGAGUAGAUUAUGACUUAGUAGUUAGUAGAUAACUUAGAAUCCAUUCUCUAGCUAAUCUGACAUCACCUACAUAUAUGAGGAGUAGUCUAUUUUCUAAUCGAUGUGUUAUUUAUCCCUUGAACUUAUAAUUCAUUAUCAUUAUCUUUAUGGUUUACCCCCUGCUAAAGUAAGUGACUGUGUGACGAAUUUCUCAUUAGUAAUCAUGUUCUUGCAAGUUUAUCUCUAGUCUAUGCCUUGAUAGAUUUUGUCCUUAUCUUAAUUUCAUUCCUUAUCCCCUUGAGCAAAAUUAUAAAUAACGAUACCUGGAAUACUUAUCCUGGUGAAAUGCUACAAUGAGGUGUUUUAUCUGUGCGCUUGCGGAUAGAAUAGAUUAUUUUCUAGAGAGCCUUUACAUUUAUAAAUACCUUUGUACACUCUGGCACCAUGCUGGGGAUGACAACCUAGUAUCUAAGUGGUGUUAGCUAGUGUCAACAGCUGCUAACAGAGAUGAAUUAAGGGUUCGGUUGUUUUCAUCAUCCCUAUCUAGAUUGGCUUUUACUUGGUUUAUAUUGUUGCCUCCAAACUCUAUUAUUACUUGGGCUGAUCUGGAAAAAUAGUUCCAUAAAUAUUUCUUCUCCGGGGUUCAUGAGAAGAAGCUUACCGAUUUAGGGAGACUAAGACAAUGUAAUGAUGAAUCGGUAGAGCACUUUGUGCAGAGGCUGCAAGAUGUGAAGAAGAAGUGCUAUAGUCUGGUUUACGAUGAUCGGCAGCUGGCCCAUCUGGCUUUUCAAGGGUUGUUGCCACAUCUCAAGGAUAAGUAUGCUUCUCAAGAAUUUGAAAGCUUGAGUCACCUAGUUCAAAGAAUUUCUGAUCAAGACACUAGGGUUUCUGAGCCUAGAAAGAAUUGGAAUAAAAAGGUAUCAUUUGUCGAUGAGGCAGAAGAUUCUGAUUCCGAUGAGGAGCUAGUUAUCGGCUUAGCAGAAUGGGUAAAAAACAAGAAACCAAUAUCUUGUCCCUUCGGUCAGAAAGAGCCAGAUAAUUUCUCUUUUGAUGUCACUAAAGCCGAUAGGAUAUUUGACCUCUUGCUUCAGGAGGGACAGAUUAAGUUAUCACCAAACCAUGUGAUUCCAUCGGCAGAGGAGUUGAAGAAGAUCGAGUAUUACAAAUGGCAUAAUGCAACUUCACACAGUAUGAAUGAGUGCAAAGUGUUUAGGCAACAAUUGCAAUCGGCUAUAGAAUCUGGGAGAAUCAAGUUUGAUGGCUCUAAGACUAAGAAGCCGAUGAAAAUUGAUCAGCAUCCCUUUCCAGCAAACAUGUUGGAUGCCAAAGGCAAAACUAAGAUCCUAACAUCAGAAAUUGUUGAGAAGAACGCAUUGGUGGAUCCCCAACAUUAGGUAACUACCGAUGAUGCAAAAGGAAAGGGUCUGUUAAAGGAAAGUGGUAGUCCUGGAAGACUUCCCUGAUCUAGCAUCAUGAUCACCCAUAGGCGACAGCAGGAGACAUGGCAACAGCGUGAAGACCAAUAUCGACGGCAGCAAGAAGAAAAGCGUCGGGGAGAGUGGAAUCGGCAUAAGGAUCAUUGGGAUUGCCCGUUCUUUGUUCAUUAUUGGGAACGGGGUAUCAAGUUGCCGAUAGUUAAGAGUUGCCCUGAGUGCAAUGGUUAUUAUUGGAACAAUCGGCCAGAAAGGGGGUUCUGACAUGAUAGUCGAGGUCUGUCCAUUAAUGAGCCGAUCAGAGGCAGGGCAUCAGUAUAUGAUCGGCUGGGGGGCAGGCUCAAUGUGCAUGAAUGACUGGGUAGAUGCGUUGAGUAUCUUCCAAGGAAUUAAGAAGAUUUGGAAGAAAUGGCAAAUGCUAGACUUCCUGAUGAGGAUAUAUUCUACAGAGAUCCCAAUAUACGUCGUGUGGACUCAUCUGAGGUUCAUUAUCAGCCGGUUUUGAAAACCAAGCUCCCCAGAUGGUGUCGAGAGGGUUUAACAUGGACACAAAGGAGGAGGAUGCAACGGUAAUGAUAGGAAGAUUUGUGCAGGGAGAGAAUUCUUCUAAGUCUGGGAAUCGGCAGCAGUCAGAUUACAAGGGGAAAGGUCCAUCGGCAGAUGUUAAUAUGGUAUUCAUGUUGCCGAUGGAGUUCCUUGCGCCUUCCAAUGAUGAUGAAGAAAUCAUCUCUCUGAUCAGAUGGCUCUGUUGGCGCUUGAUCCGAUGAUGGCUGUUUUUGAGAAGCCAACUGAUCAUGAAAGACAGCAUAUCAAGGCUUUGUUCAUUAAAGGCAGGGUUGAUGGACGACCAGUAUCUAAGAUACUGAUUGAUGGAGGAGCUGUGAUUAAUAUCAUGCCUUAUGUAAUGUACCAGAAGCUUGGCAAAGGAGAUCAGGAUCUGACCAUGACCUAUAUGAUGCUAAAAGAUUUUGAGGGCAACGUGUCACCAGCUAAAGGGGCAGUAUGCGUUGAGUUGACCAUCGGCAUCAAGACCUUGCCAACAACGUUCUUUGUCAUUAAUGGUAAAGGCGCAUACAAUCUGCUUUUGGGAACAGAUUGGAUCUAUGCCAAUUGUUGUGUUCCUUCUAUGAUGCAUCAAUGCCUUGUUCAGUGAGUUGGAGACAAGAUUGAGGUUGUCCCUGGUGAUUCUUCCUAAAUCAUUGCGUCGGCAGAGUCAAACACUUAUGAGCGGACCAAGUGUAUAUCAGGAGAAGCCUGGGAGAAAGAUUUCCUUAGAGUUGCCGAUUAUGAGAUUCCACCGAUCCAAGCAGAUGGUUCUAAUGAUGGAUAGAUUCGCUGAUGAUGGAAAGUUAGGACAGGGUUUCAUAUUGGCUGAUGAUUUAGUAGAAGUAGAUAUUGGUAGUGGAGAUAGACCAUGACCUACUUUUAAUAGUGCUAAGUUAAAUUCUGAGUGUAAGCCACAAUUGACUGAUUUGUUAAAGGAAUAUAAAGAUUGUUUUGCUUGGGAUUAUACUGAGAUGCCUGGAUUAGACCGAUCAAUUGUUGAACAUCGGUUACCUAUCAAAUCUAGAUUUUAGCCACAUCAGCAACUAGCGCACCGAUGUAAGUGUAACCCUAAUAUUCUUCCUGAUAUCAAGGCCGAAAUUACCAAGCUAAUUGAAGCUAAGUUUAUUUGGCAAUGUCGGAAUACGGAGUGGAUUUCUAAUGUUGUUCCUGUCUAUAAGAAAAUGGAAAGCUUCACAUAUGCAUUGAAUUCAGGAAUCUCAACAAGGCCACACCGAUGGAUGGCUAUCCGAUGCCUUGCCGAUCUGCUAGUUGAUGCUACAGCAGGGCAUCAGAUUAUUAGUUUGAUGGAUGGCAAUGCAGGAUACAACCAAAUAUUCAUGGCUAAAGAGGAUAUUCCCAAGACUAUUUUUAGAUGUCCUGAUCAUGUUGGUUUAUUUGAAUGGAUAUUUAUGACUUUUGGUUUAAAGAAUGCCGGUGCGACUUAUCAAAGGGCCAUGAAUUUUCUUUUUCAUGAGUUCAUCGGCAUGCUAGUGGAAAUCUACAUUGAUGAUAUGGUGGUUAAGUUUGGGGACUUUGCAAAAUAUCUAGCUGAUCUAUGAAAAAUACUUGUGUGCACAAGGAAGCAUGGUUUGAAGAUGAAUCCUAAUAAAUAUGCAUUUGGUGUAUCGACAUGCCAAUUCUUGUGUUUCAUGGUGCAUUAGAGGGGGAUUGAGAUUAGUAGAAGAUCCAUUGAUGCAAUUAACAAGGUGGUUGCUCCUGCCGAUAAAAUUGAAUUGCAAUCAUUGAUCGGCAAGAUUAAUUUCAUCAGGAGGUUCAUAUCUAAUCUAUCGGGCAAGAUUAAAGCUUUUAGUCCACUGCUCAAAUUAAAAGCCGAUCAAAAGUUUGUGUGGGGGGUUGAACAGGAGUUAGCUUUAGAUGAAAUUAAGAAAUAUUUGAUAAACCCUCUGGUCUUAGUUCCACCUCAGCACGGAAAGCCUUUCAGAUUAUAUUUAUUGACCAAUGAUACUGUUAUCGGUUCAGCCCUUAUUCAAGAAUUUGAGGGGAAGGAGUGUGUCAUUUAUUAUUUAAACAGAAGAUUGGCGGAUGUUGAGAGAAGAUAUUCAGCUAUCGAGAAACUGUGCUUAUGUUUAUAUUUUGCUUGCAUUAAAUUAAGGCAUUAUUUGCUAUCGACCGAAUAUACUGUCAUAUGCAAAGAUGAUAUGGUCAAAUACAUGUUGUCAAUGCCGAUUUUGAGUGAUAGAAUCGGCAAGUGGAUCUUAGUGCUAUCAGAAUUUGAUCUAUGCUACAAAUCGGCCAAGGUAGUUAAGGGGUAAGUUAUGGCUGAUUUUGUUACUCAACAAUGCAAUGCAGUAGGUUCUAUGGAAGUUUCUCCUUGGACGCUUUUCUUUGAUGGAUCUAUGUGUGAUCAAGGGGCAGGUAUGGACAUUGUAUUGAUUUCACCUCGAGGAAGGAGGUAUGAGUUUUCAUUGCUGAUUGUUGCUACAUCGACAAACAAACAGGCUGAGUAUCAAGCAUUGGUGAAAGGGUUGGAAUUACUUAGAGAAAUACGUGCCGAUGCUAUUUAAGUCUUUGGUGAUUCUAUGCUUGUUAUAAAUCAAUUAAUUGGGAUUUAUGAAUGCCGGAGCGAAAUUUUAAUUUCAUAUUAUGAAAGAUGCUUGCAAUUGUUGAAAGAAUUUAAAGAUUUCCGUCUAGAACAUUCCCCGAUUACAUAAUGAAGAAGCUAAUCGGUUGGCUCAACACGCCUCGAUAUAUCAACCCACCCUAGAAGUACUCACAUCAGCAGUUGGUGCCGAUGACUAGAGAACGGAAAUCGUCGAUUACUUGAAAGACCCAUCUAAGAAAGUUGAAAGACGCAUUAGAUUUCAAGCCACUAAGUACGUGCUUCUCGAUGAUGAGUUGUAUUAUCAAACUUUGUAUGGGCUUUUUACUCAGGUGCCUUGGCAAUGAUGAAUCAAAGAAUUUGAUGGGUGAAAUUCAUGAGGGAGUGUGUGGAGCACAUCAAUCGGCUUUCAAAAUGAAGUGGCUGAUCAGAAGGAACGAAUAUUUUUGGCCAACUAUUCUUGAAGAUUGUUUUAAAUAUUUCAAAGGAUGCCAAGGAUGUCAAAAGUUUGGUAAUAUCAAAGAGCGCCUGCAUCGGCUAGGAACCCUAUCAUUAAACCCUGGCCGUUCCAAGGAUGGGCUAUUGAUCUUUUCGGUCGGAUUUAUCCGCCAUCAAGCAAAAGGCAUAAAUUUAUACUCGUCGCCACCGAUUAUUUCACUAAGUGGCUUGAAGCAAUUCCUUUGAAAAAGGUGACAUCAGCCAGUACGAUUGAUUUUGUAACGGAGCAUAUAGUUUACUGAUUUGGUAUUCUUCAAACAAUCACUACCGAUCAGGGUACUAUGUUUACAUCGGGAGAAUUUGAUGAGUUUGCAAUCGGUAUGGGAAUUAAAGUUUUAUAUUCUUCUCCUUAUUAUGCUCAAGCUAAUGGGCAGGCCAAAGCCUCUAACAAAGGGAUCAUUAAACUAAUUAAGCGUAAAAUUGAGCAAAACCCUAGGCGGUAGCAUACAAUGUUAAAUGAAGCCCUGUGGUCAUAUCGGAUGGCUUGCCAUGGUGCAACUAAAGUGUCGCCUUAUCAGUUGGUAUAUGGGCACGUUGCAGUAUUACCUUGGGAAAUUAAAACUGGCUCUAGGCGGAUAUUUUCUCAAGAUCAGUUGACUGCCGAUGAUUAUAAUAUUCUAAUGAAGGAUGAGUUCGAAGAUUUGGCAAGUCAUCGGUUGAAAGCUUUGGUUAGCAUUGAAGAAAAUAAGAAGAGAGUGGCCAGGUGGUAUGAUAAAAGGGUAAAAGCUAAAGAGUUUGCUGAUGGAGAUUUAGUUUUGAAAUUGAUUCUACCGAUUAGGGCUAAAAGUUUUAAGUUUGGUAAAUGGUCUCCUAAUUGGGAGGGUCGUUAUCGGAUAAGUCGAUCUGCUCCUAGCAAUGCAUAUAUAUUAGAAACCCUCGAAGGGAUUGAAUUUCCCAGAGCGUUAAGUGGAAAGUAUUUAAAGAAAUACUACCCGAGUAUUUGAGUUGACGCAUGAAAGUUUAAGUGCUGAUAACAAUCCUAUUGGCUGGACAAAAUACUAGUGUUUAUAAAGAGGACUGAUGCAACACGCUACUGAUAAAGAAAUUUACAAGCCUAGCAAAGUCCGAAUGGCCGAUAUUGGGUGUAAGCGAGUCUGGUUGGCUUCCUCUAUUUCUUUGGUGUCUUCAUCGGCUAAACCCUCCACUAGCUUAAGUUUCUUCUUCAUCAGGAGUGCUUUGCGAGCUUGGGUGUCUCUUUCUUGCUGAAGGCCUUUGAUUUUGUCGGGCAGCUGACUUUCUUCCUAUACAGUCUGAGUCAAUGCUUCUUCAACUUGCUUAAGUUCAGCUAGCAGAGCUUCCUUCCUUGCCGACAGAUCUAAGAUCUUCUGCUUCCACUCGGUGCCUGAAGCCUGUAAAUUGCCGAUGCUCUUAUGCUUCUCAUCGGCAAUGUGCUUCACUUGCAGCAUUUCUUCUUUAAGUUGAGCCAGGGUAGCUCUAUCGGUAAUGCGUUGUGCGGCUUUUUGAUAUUGAAGUUGACGACUCUCCAGAUGGGCAGCUUAGAAAAGUGCUUCUUCAACAUCGGCAGGGACCUGGCCACACAUUGUCUUGAAGAUAGCUUUUGCUGGGUCAAAAUCAUCCUCCAGUUGAGCUGUAUCUUGCUGCAAUAAGCCCAACAGAUCCUCAAACUUGGAUUUGACUUCCGCCAAUACUAUUCCAUGCACCAGUGAAGAGCUUGCCUCUUCUCCUUCGUCAUCAGAAAUCUUGAUGGCAAAGGAGAAUAGGCUGUCGGGAGAAUCUUGCUCCCAAGGAGGAUAGAGGGAGUAAAUCAGUUGGAGGUGAGCAUGAAUAUUGCAAAUAUGAAGAUCGGUCAAGUCAGAUAGCUUACUUGUUUUAAGACAAUUUCUUGCCUUUGGCUAGAGGAUGUAAUCUUGAUUGUGUCUUGAGGAGGAUCAGCUGGAUCUGCCCAUGGAAUAUCUUUAGUUGUAAAAUCGGUUAAUGCUAAGAAUGAUGAUAAUUUCUUUACAAGUUCAUCGGUGAUAAUUUCUUGGAUAGCCAAUAUUAUACCUUGUGUGGAAGCAAUAGUCAUCGUCUCAGGAACGACGGUCGAUGACGUGCCUUGGUCAGACGGGUCAAUUGUUUGCUCAGGUGCAUCGGCCGGUUCAGAUUGAUUGGGAAGCACUGACUGAGGUGGAGAGGAUUGUGUCGCUUUCUGCCAUUUUGGCUGAGUCUUAGUGCUUGUCGGAGGUUUCAACUUGGGUUGAGCUUUGGUGGCUACUGGCUGGGGGGGCAUCAGCACUCGACGAAUGAACAUCUUGAGCUCUUGCCGAUGUAUUGGUUUGUUGCUGCAAGGCGCAUGUAAAGCAUAAAUGUCUUAUAAGUUGAAUAUAAAGGCAGGAAAAUAGUUUUGAAAGUUUAUCAAGAGUAAAAGUAUCUGGUGUGGGACAAGUUACCGAUGAUGUCCUAGUUAUGGUCGAUACACCCUAAAAAGAUAGUGUAAGUAUGAACUGAGAUUAGCACAGUUGAAGUAAUUAAGGGUUUUUACCUUGAAAGCUUGUGCUAAGGUGGCAGCUACGACCGAUGGAGUGGCCUUUGAGCGAUUGGUAGUCAUUUUCUUGAAAUGAACUCCUCGGUGCAUCAGAGCUGCCAGAGUGGGUGUUGAUAUUUGGGAAAGCAAUAAGGAAUUGAUCCGCAAGCGCAUGGAUAUCGGUGAGUAUUGACGGUCCUUAAAUAUCAAAUUUAAUUAUCAAAUAAAUAAAGAAAAGGAUCCAAAUGAAAUCAACAUCUAGACUUAGGGAUUUAUCUGAUGGAAUUCCACGAGUUUUGGUGUUUGUCUAUUUCUGCAGGGGGUUAUCAGGAAAUAUGGAAGAAAGGCCCACACGUCGGGAUUACAUAGAGAUAUUAACGUGCCGCGCAAUUAUCUUACAUCUAGAAGACUCCAGAAGCCACGAGACCGAAGCGGAGACGAAACGGGGCCAGAGGCAGGGCACCCGCCCUGUUCCCCUGGGCGCCUGCACCCUCCCUGAGUCCAAUCAGGACUCUGCUUCGUGGGAGAUCUUCACCGACCUAAAGGAUGAAUCUAAACCAUACAAUCUAUGUCGGUUUGAUCCAACAGCCCAUAUUCACUUGAAGGGACUAUAAAACCAGACCCCCUGGCCCCUGGAGGAGAGAGCCUCUCAACCCUAAUUCAUUAUUCUCAAGGGAGAAGAAGCCUCUGAUCAAGAUUAGAGCCACCACAUCAAUUAGAUAUCUAGAUUAGCAUAGCUACAUAGGAUUAGAACUAGGAGUCAAUCUUCGAUUGGUUUCCGGAUCUGUCAAGAGGAUUCUUGGUAAUUCUCUAAUUGUGCUUCUAAUUGUUUUCUAAUUAUCUUUGUUCUUCAAUAUUAUGAAUAUGACUUUGUUCUACUUCAAUAUAUUGCUUAUGACUUUGCUCUACUUGCUUAUAUUCAAGAUUGUAUUGUUCUUAGUUUAUCAUAGUUAUGUACUUGGCUUAGUUAGAUUGGAUCUAUAUACAUGCUUAGGAUCGUAUAGCGUUUAUCCAUCGGAUCCAUGGGUAAAUGAUAGAUAUUGUGUAGGCGUGGUGCUUAUACCGUAUUUAUCUGCGAUUGUACCCAAUAUGCCAGAUCGUGGGGUAGUUCGUGAUAGUGACAGCUUCAUUGAUUCUUAUAUAGUCCCCCUCUCGUGUGUUGGGCUGGCAGAGCAAUAUUAUUAUAGGGGAGUGAUUGCUAUGUUUCUCAUUUACCUUGCUAAUAUCACUAUGCAUGGGCGUAGUCUUGUCUCACAAUGAUUGCUAAGUAUGCUUGCACUAACUAUGAUAAUGCUAGACUAUAUAGUUGAGAAUAACUUAGGAAAUAUUCUUGUAGUUCGUUCUAAUUCCAUGCUAAUGACUUUCUAGAGUAUCUAAUUGAGGUGCUUAUCAUAUUUAUAUGUGGCUGAUCAGAUCAAUUAUCUUUGUCACUAUUCAUUAUUUCAUAUAUCUUUUAUGUGACACUUAUCCCUGUAUGAAGAGUUAGAUAAAUGUUCUCAAUUACAUAUGCAAUGAUAGAUACUCAAUCUCAUAUUCUAUUCUGUAAUCAAUAUUGAUGAUUGCUAAUCCCUUCCCAGUGGUAAAAAUAUAAAUAACGAUACCUAGAAUACUUCCCGGUUAAAAUGCUACAUCGGUAUUAAUCAGUGCGCUUGCAGAUCCCAUUCAUUAUUUAUUUAGAAGAGCAAUUGCAUAUUUCAAUACCGCGUCUCUUAUAUCAUGCUGGGGAUGACAACUUGGCUUAAGUGGUGUGAGGGAUAGGUUUGGCAUUUUUGGCACCGUUACUAGAUUUAGAGAACUUAGUCUACUUUUGGUAACGAUGUUAAGAAUACCCAACAAGUAUUUUUGGCGCCGUUGCCGGGGAAGGUUGAUUACUAAUCAAGAAUGGAAUAAAGGAUUUUGAGUUAUCAUUCGCAUCACUAAUUUGAUUGAGCUUAUCUAUUCUCUCUUACAGUUUUACCCCGAUAUUUUUCUAUUUUAUCUUAUGCAGGGGAAUGUAUGAAUAGAAGACAUCUUUCAGGAAAUUUUGUUUACAAUCCCGAAGCAUUAUUCAAGAAGACAAGAGCCAAGCUCAAGAAGAGCUCAUCAACACUUCAGCAAGAAGCUUCAUCCAAUCAAGAAGAUCACCGGAACUUGUCUUCAGAGUUCGAAGCCAUGGCGAACAAAUCAAUCCGUGAGUUCUCAGCUCCCACUACUGACAACAUCCGCACUGGACCUGCUGCAGAGAUCGACGACAACUUUGAGCUCAAGCCUGGACUUAUCAACAUGGUGCAAUCCAACCAGUUCUGUGGGAAGGCACACGAAGAUGCUAGUGCUCAUCUACAACACUUCCUAGAGAUUUGCAACACAUUCACCAUAUCAGGAGUUUCCAAAGAUGCUAUACUACUUCACCUCUUCUCAUUCUCACUAUUAGGAAGAGCGAAGCAGUGGUUCUACGCUACAAAGGAGAAGAAUACUACAUAGGCACUCUGCUCAACAAACUUCCUGGCUAAGUUCUUUCCCAUGGGCAAGACCAAUGCUCUCUGUGGGAAGAUUACAAGUUUUCAACAACAAAAUGACGAAUCUAUUCCAGAAACAUGGGAGCGCUUCGAAUACUACAUCCUAGAAUGUCCCCAUCAUGGAAUGGAGAGUUGGCUAUUGAUGCAGACGUUUUAUCAUGGGCUCAGCAACAGUGCCCGAGAGACCAUGGAUGCUGCAGCUGGAGGAGCAUUCUUAUCACUUACUAUACCACAAGCCACAGCUCUUGUGGAGAAGAUGGCGUCCAACCAAAGCUGGAAUGAAGAGAGGACCCAGACACGCAAGAGAGGUGGAGGUAUGCAUCAGCUCAAGGAGGUAGACAUGCUGUCUGCAAAGCUAGACCUGCUCAUGAAGAAGCUCGACGAUAGAGCUGGAGAUAAGAAAGAAGUGAUGCACAUCUACGACUCUCACAUGACUUGUGAGGAGUGUGGAGACACUGGACACUUAGGCAAUCACUGCCCUGAGAUACUUGAGGAUGUGAACUACGUCAACAAUAACAACAACAACUACUACAACCGUCCUCAACAAAAUCAAGGUUGGAAUCAACAGAGGCCUAACUACUCAGGUAAUUAUCAAGGUAACAAUUCUUACAACAAUAAUAAUAAUUUUCCACCUCUGAGAGAGUUAGUGUCUAAUCAAGGAAAGCUAAUGGAUAACCUAUCUAAGAAAUUGGCAUCUAAUGAUAAAAUACUAGAAAAUAUAAAUAAUAGAAAGGAAAGUUUCUCUACUGCCAUCAAGAAACAAAUUAGCUUUAAUAAAAUGAUUGAAUCUCAGUUAAAUCAAAUAGCUGCUGUUGUUCCUACUACUAACCCCGGUAUACCAUAACAACCGGAAGGAUUAGAAUCUGCAAAUCUUGUAGACAUGUUUGAUGCAGGCAAUAAUUGGAGUAACCCCGUCACUGAUUUCACUACUGACCUUUUGCCGGUCAAGAGAGGUGAUCCAGGACGCCCCGUCAUCCCGAUCUCCAUCGGCAUGGUGGAUGUCCCAGAAGCACUCUGUGACUUUGGCUCCAGCAUCAACAUUAUACCCAGGGUACUCUAUGAAAAAUUCUUUACAUAUCCUUUAUUAGAAACAACCAUGUGUUUGCAGUUUCCAGAUCAGACGAUAACUUUUCCCAAAGGAAUAGUGAAGAACCUCUGUGUCCGAGUUGGUACCUUAUAUACCCCAGCAGACUUCGUAGUGGUAGAGACCGGAAAUGAUGAGAGGGCAUCUAUCAUCUUAGGGAGGCCAUUCUUGAACACCACGGGAGCUGUCAUCUACGCUAGUGCUGCCAAGAUCAGUUUCUACAUCAAAGGGAGGAAGGAAACAUUUUUCUUCAAGAACAAGACUACACAAAUCCCAGAUCAAUCCAGACGUGAAUCAAGGAAGAGGACCAACAGGAGAAACAGGAACAAGCAAGUGUGGACCGAGUCAGCUAAGAUGGUCACUGUAGUUCAUGGAGGUCAAGAGCAUCAACUUAAGUCACCAUUUUUGACCAAGAAGAACGACCCAGGAAUGCCAAGCAUCUAUUGCUCCAUAAAUGGAUACAGCUUCUACAAGACGUUUUGCGACACCAGAUCGGGCGUCAACAUAAUGGCCUGUUGGGUAUUUUAAACGCAAACAGAAAAAUCCGCAAGCGCACGGAUACCGAUGUAGCUUUCACCUGGGAGUAUUCCAGAGUAUCGAUUUUCCACAGAGAACGUGAGUGUACUAAUUAAGAUCCAAGAUCGCCCAAGGAUAACUAUAUAAUUAUUUUUUGUGGGAAGAGAGGAAGUUUCCUGAGAGUUCUCUAGUUGAUCUAAGAAUCAAGAAUUACUUAAAGAUUAUCUAUAUCUGGACAUCAGAGCACUAACCACAGAAAGAGAUGAGAAGGGGGCUACGAAGGUUUGACUACGGUCCUACAAACACCGAUCUGAAUGAGGUGGAAUACGUCGACCGUUAGGGCUGUCACUACCCUAAGGUUACCACAACAAUCCGCAGGAUUGGGUGCAAUUCCAGGUAAUCGCAAGACUAAACAUCACGUCUAAUCUAUUAAUUACUACUCUAGCGUUAUAAAGACUAGAGCACUUGAUGCAAGCGGGAAUCCAAUAAAUAACUUGAAUGUAAAUAAAAGUAAUUAAAGAACUCAGGAUUAUGAAUUGAAGAACCUGGAAAAGUAUAAUGUUAAGGAAGAUCCGACAGAUCCGGCUCCUCCUCCGCUCUCCUCUUCUCUCUCCCUAUUUUCUAGAUUACAACUAGAACUAACUAGAACUAGAACUAGAGGAACUAGAACUAGAACUAGAUGAACUAGAACUAGAACUAGAUGAACUAGAGGUAGAACUAGAUGAACUAGAGGGAUCCUCUCUACUUGGAUGAAGAAUUGAAACCCUAGCUUUGAUUCUGUAGAAGAGGUAUGAUCUCCAGGGGCCAGGGGGGUCUGGUUUUAUAGUCCCUUCAAGUGAAUCUGGGACGUCCGAUCAAACCGACAUUGAUCGUGUGGUUUUCCUUGAAGUAUUAGGUCGGUGGAGCAUGAUCCCCGAGUUGUACCCUGAUUGGGCAGAACAGGUGGGCGGGCGCCCUCACGACUAGGGCGGGCGCCCUAUCCCUGAGGCCUCUCGUCUUCCGCUUUGUUCCCGUGGCUUCUGGAGUCUUCUAGAUGAUAGAAAAUUGCGCGGCACGUUAAUAUCUCUAUGUAAACCCGACGUGUGGGCCUUUCUUCCGUAUUUCCUGAUAACCCCCUACAGAAAUAGACAAACACCAAAACUUGUGGAAUUCUGUCAGAUAAAACCCUAAGUCAAGGUGUUGGUUGCAUUUGGAUCCUUUUCUAUGAUUAGUUGAUGGUUAAAUGUGAGCAUUAAGGACCGUCAACAAGCUCCCCCAAGCUUAACCUUUGCUCGUCCCUGAGCAAAGAUGAACUCAAGAGUUUCUGCAGUGGCUUCAUAAAUUAAAAUACACAUGCAUUCAAACAAGAUCUCAUCUCUGGGUUAGGGUAACUGUUAAGAUUUAAACUUACUCAUAUUACCUUUCACCAUGGGGCUUGCAACCGUCACUUGUAUCUUGAGUAGUUAAAAGAUAGAACGGUCUAGUCAAGCGCUAUGUCUCUUGUUCUUCGAUUAACUAUAGCUCUGGAGUUUUUGCAGAUUUUCAAAUAAAACUCAGAGAUUCCUUGUAUGACUCUCUCUAGUCUCUCCUUUGUGGUAUUUCUGGAUCCUUACCAAUGCAGUAAUGGUGCACGCCUUCUCUCAAAGUAUGUGGUAUUUUUGGUAUGAAGCAUAGUGGCAUUACCUUCUCUCUCACCCUACUCUAAUAAGGUUUUGAUAUCUGGAGCUCAUAGGUGGGAGACAGCUAAUACAUACUUACAAGACAUUUAUUGCAUAGUCAAACCAUGGAUCCAGAAGAACAAGUCAAUAAGUCAAAUCAAGAUGUGCAUGUGUGGCGAAUGAUGUAUGGUGAUGAUGGUGAUAAUGAUGGUGAAAGUCUAAUUCUACUUUUGCUCUUUUGAGGGGAUACAUACCUUUCUUGCACUUUGAAGCUUUUUGGAGAGAAUGAGAUGCUCUAUAUUUUCUUUUUAUUUCCUCUCAGGUGGGUAUCUUGUACCCCUAAUUCUACUGUCAGACACUUGUCCAUUUUUACCUCUCGUCUCACUUUUUUCUUUUUUCUUCGAGGUUCCGGGCACUUGCCCCUUUUUAUUUCCUCGUAUUCUUCAUUUUUUUUUCUUUUUUUAGAGCACUCAUCCUCCUAGAAUAAUGUGGCAAGUGGUAGUAACCAAGAUAACUCGAGCAUGUAUUUCACAGGGAAUAACAGGGAUAGGAAAAUAUUUUUGGCUAUUCUCUCCCGGAUUAGGAGAAGAAUAAUUUUGGGUGAAUCUGGAGAUGGAAAUGAGUGGAUAUAUGUGGAUGGUACUUCCGGAGUAGAAGUAGCAUGUAUGAGUGAACGUGCAAGUGAAUCUUGAUUUUAACCACAUGACAAGCUCCUAAGGGUCUACACAGCUUGACCACACUCAAUGCUCAUAAGCAGUAAAAAGUAAAUAUGUGGCUCAAAGUCUAGCAAGCAUGUAUAUAUGGCUGUGGUAGGAUUUUAAUCUCUCAUCAUACAGGAACUCAUCAUGUGUUAUUUUAAAGAUUUUUCAAAGAUAAAAUUCUCCAGAAUUCUAGCAUCUCUAGGAACAGAUAAACAGCAGCUCAACCUUCCCAUAUCAUAUCCGUUAACGACUUAGACUUUAGAUCAAGUACUCUUCCCACAAGUUCAGGUUUAGAGCAAAUCUUAAUUAAUAACAGUCAUGCCUAAACUUGAGAGAGAUUUCAAUUUUAAGAACUAGUCAUGGCAGAGCAACUAUUCAUCAUUUCCAUGUGAGAGCUUAUCAUGAGGGUUCAUAGCAAACUUUAUUUAUUUAUUUAUUUAGCAAACUAAGCAAAGAUAUAUAUAAGCACAAAAUCUUUAUUUGGGUUUCUAUGAUUAUUCAUCUUUUUAUUAUUAGAGUAAAGUAUAAACUUGAGUAGAAUACUUAGCUGGAUAAAUGGGGGUGCUCUCCCCCAAGCUGGAUUUUGACGUGGUUUCUUCUAAUGUAGCUAGCAAGUGGUGAAGGUGUAUUUGAAUGUCAGCAGCACCCUAACAGCGAUUAGGAUGUCCUCCGUCUGCUAGUCUACUUUGAUCCUUGAAUUCUGUGGAGCUCAAAUAGACAACAAAGCUUUGUGGAACUAGUUAAGUGUUAGCAUAAAUAUCUAGCCUUUAUGAUGUUGAGCCUCCUCAAUAAAUGUUACUCUCUUUAGUAGGAUCACAAUCUUAUUUAUAUUUCAUUUUUAUAGGACAGGAAUAUAUAUUUAUUUUUACGCCACCACAGUGAAUGUACUUAUGGGUUUUAUGCCAUGAGCAUACUCACAUGGGGCCUACUAUUUUUAACAUUUUUAUUUUCUUUUUAAGAUGGUGUGAACCUGAUUAACUAAGCAAACUAUUUUAAAAUAAUUGAAAGGAAAAAGAUAACUACCAAGUUUACCUCUUGGCAAGGCGUUCGGUGUUUUUAAGUCCUCCGAACGGGACUCUCCAUUUUCUCAUUCGUCCUGGGAUUCGCUGGAUGGCGUAGUCGGUGGUUCCGGCGGUGCUUCCUCUUCGUGUAUAACUAUCUUCUCUCUCCACACCUGAGUCGGUGCUACGUUCUCCUCAGGACAGUUCUGUUCAAGUUGUAUGUCUUCAGACCUUGCUACUUUUCCUUCGUAGUCUGCUCAUCCAUCCUUGAUGAUUUGCCUCCUCUGGUUGCGGUUGCGUCGUCUUCUUCUUGUCCUAACCUGUUUAGAGUCUUGAACUAUAUAGUUAGGGUCAGUAAAAUAGCGGUGUACCUUCUCAGAAGUGCAUGUGGACUUCUCUGGUUCCAAUGUAGAUGAUUGCUUUAACGGUGCUGAGGAAGGGUCUCUUAAGGAUGAUGGAUGGAUCGUACUCGUCUUCUCCCAUGUCAAUAACCUUAAAAUCAUCUGGAGCUGAAUGUAUGUUGGUUGUAGGGGCAUGGUUCCAUGCAGGAGUUGAUAAGUGACUGCAGCCAUUAUCUUGACGUCAGAUCCAGUGUCGUAGAGUGUCUUCUAAAAAGAGUAUCCUUUGAUUGUGCACUCGAUGCUUGGAACACCAGGGUCGUCCUUCUUGAUCAAGAAAGGCGACUUGAGUUGACGAUCUUGACCUCCUUGAGCUGCAGUGACCAUCUUAGCUGACUUGGUCCACAUUUGCUUAUUCAUGUUCCUCCGGUUGGUCCUUCCUUGGUUCAUGUCAGGAUUGCUCUAAGAUUUGUGUAAUCUUGUUCUUGAAGGAAAACGUCUCCGUCCUUCCCUUGAUGUAGAAACUGAUCUUGGUAGUAGUAGCGUAGAUGACAGCUCCUGAGGUGUUCAGGAAUGGCCUCGCUAGGAUGAUGGGUGCCCUCUCAUCAGUAUCAGUCUCUAUCACCACGAAGUGUGCUGGAGCGUAUAAGGUACCAACUCGGACGUAGAGGUGCUUCAAUAUUCUCUUUGGGAAACUUAGCGUACGAUCUGUAAGCUGCAAACACAUGGUUGUUUCUAAUAAAGGAUGUGUAAAGAAUUUUUCAUAGAGUACCCUGGGCAUAAUGUUGAUGCUGGAGCCAAAGUCACAGAGUGCUUCUGGGAAGUCCACUAUGCCGAUGGAGAUCGGGAUGACAGGGCGUCCUGGAUUGUCUCUCUUGACCGGCAGAAGGUCAGUAAUUACUACCACAAUGGGGUUACUCCAGUAGUUACGUCCUCAAGCAUCUCAGGGUAGUGAUUGCCUGAGUGUCCAGUCUCACUAGUGUGUUUGUGCUCGUAGAUUUAGGUUCUUCACUUGGUGGAGUAUGGGAGUUGUAAAAGUCCUUCAUAUUUUGCUCAAAGUGUACCUGCUCAUAGAGACAAGGCAAAGAUAAAGUGCAUGAGCCCUGUUGGUGGAAAACACCAACAGAACCAAAAGUGUAUUUGUUCUCUCUAACCUUAAGCAUAGUGAGAAAGACAAAGUUGAUGGAUAAUAAGACCAUGAGUGUAACAUUUAAAACAUUCGUCAGAUCAGAUCACUCAACCUAAUGGAAAGAUAAUCUAUCUAUACUUAUGUUUAUAUAUAUAUAUAUAUCUUCCAAAGAUUGAGUGUGCAACAUUUUAGCUCAUAUGAUUAGGAGUGUGGGAUCACAAAGGUGGAAGGACUAAACAUAUUGAAUCGAUUGGGUUGGUUAAUCUAGAGUUGUAAAUCAUACAUGUUUGUCUCUUUUACUCAUGUGAACGCCAGAACCAAGGAGAAGCUUAUAAAAGUGAUAGUCAAGUACUUUAAGAUGUUACCUUACUUGAAGAGUGAUGGUACAGUAUCAGCUUGUGGAAGCUUUCCUCUCUUAGCGGUUGUGCAUCGUGUUUUUGGCACCCUCCAUGGAUCAUCUCUUGUGAGCUAUGCCUUCCUUGUGUAAAUUGUUAAACUUCUUGUGUGUCUCUCUUUGUCUCCAAUGUGAGUUUAUCUUAGGACUUCCCAAGUUGAUGUUGAAAGUUUUAUUUUUCUGCAGGGGUUAGUCUGACAAAAUAUACCAAUGUCUACACAAGCAGUUUUUAGUUCAAUAACCAAACUAGACUCCAUGUCUAAUUAGAUUAAGGAAGGUUGUUUAACCUAAGCACCAUGCUUAAUUUAAAAACCAAUAGAAGUAUGUACAGUACUUCCAAACUAACACUUACUAGGAUAAACAAAGGUAGCGUGAUGGCUUUUAUAGAGAUCUACUCAAGUGGAGAUGAAGUAGUGUGAUUACUAUUUAACAAAUUGAGCAUGUCUCAAAGGUAGGGACAACCAACAUAGCAACAUGGCAAAUGAUGUUUUUAUAUAAAGUACUCCCCCAAGCUUGAAUUUUGCAAAAUUCAAGUUUGGAUGAAUUUAAUUCAAUGUUGCAUGAUGAUUGGUUGUACAUACCUUGUGCUUGUCAUUCAUCCGAUCUUCUUGCUCGAAUCCUAGAAAGGUUAGUGACAAGAAUACCCGAAGGAAUUUUUUUACAAUUAUUCUUAUAUGCUCAAUACACAAGGUAAUGUUGCGAAAAGCUCAUGUUACGAUCUGAUCAAUGCUUGUUUUAGGACACUAAGCUUGUCCUUGGGAAACCAUAAAUUUAUGUCGGCGAAGUGGUUUCCCCUCCAACGCUGACCUAUAUCAAGAUCAACUCAAUGAGAUCUGCAAUAUUUAAUAUAGACAUAUUCAUCGACAACCGCCCUUUUAAAGUUUUUAUAAAUAGAAAGGAAGAGGGGGUUGGAGAUCUCGAAUGUGGUGAUGUUGGAGAGACCAAUGGAUUGUGAAGAUGUUGCAUAUGAGCAUGGAGUAAAUGAAGUGGCUAUGAAAUAAAUUCCAUGCUCAUUAAUGCUUAGAGUGAAAUCCAUGUGGUAUGGUGAAAAUGAUAAGGUGAGUGUGGUAAAAAAGGAAAAGAAAAAGGAUACACAGACGACUUGGUUCGAAACUAGCACAACUACCGUUCCCCGGCAACGGCGCCAGAAAGCUUGUUGGGUAUUUUAAACGCAAACAGAAAAAUCCGCAAGCGCACGGAUACCGAUGUAGCCUUCACCCGGGAGUAUUCCAGAGUAUCGAUUUUCCACAGAGAACGUGAGUGCACUAAUUAAGAUCCAAGAUCGCCCAAGGAUAACUAUAUAAUUAUUUUUGGUGGGAAGAGAGGAAGAUUCCUGAGAGUUCUCUAGUUGAGCUAAGAAUCAAUAAUUACUUCAAGAUUAUCUAUUUUGGGACAUCAGAACACUAACCAUAGAAAGAGAUGAGAAGGGGGCUAGGAAGCUCCGACUACGGUCCUACAAACACCGAUCCGAACGAGGUGGAAUACGUCGACCGUUAGGGCUGUCACUACCCUAAGGCUACCACAACAAUCCACAGGAGUUAUGAAUUGAAGAACCUGGAGAACGAUGAAGAACGAACCAGUUGCUGCAAAAGUACAAUGUUGAGGAAGAUUCGACAGAUCCGGCUCCUCCUCCGCUCUCCUCUUCUCUCUCCCUAUUUUCUAGAUUACAACUAGAACUAACUAGAACUAGAACUAGAGGAACUAGAACUAGAACUAGAUGAACUAGAACUAGAUCUAGAUGAACUAGAGGUAGAACUAGAAGAACUAGAGGGAUCCUCUCUACUUGGAUGAAGAAUUGAAACCCUAGCUUUGAUUCUGUAGAAGAGGUAUGAUCUCCAGGGGCCAGGGGUCUGGUUCUAUAGUCCCUACAAGUGAAUCUGAGCCGUCGGAUCAAACCGACAUUAAUCGCACAGUUUUCCUUGAUCCUUUAGGUCGGUGGAGCAAAAUCCGCGAAACGUGUCCUGAUUGGGCACUGUAGCUGGGCGGGCGCCCUGCCUCCGAGCCCGAUUGCCUUCCCGUUCGGUCCCAUGGCUUCUGGAGUCUUCUAAUGUUAGAAAAUUGUGCGGCACGUUAAUAUCUCUAUGUAAACCCGACGUGUGGGCCUUUCCUUCGUAUUUCCUGAUAACCCCCUGCAGAAAUAGACAAACACCAAAAGUCGUGGAAUUCUGUCAGAUAAAACCCUAAGUCUGGGUGUUGGUUGCAUUUGGAUCCUUUUCCAUGAUUAGUUGAUGGUUAAAUAUGAGCAUUAAGGACCGUCAACAACAUGCUUGCUAGACUUUGAGCCACAUAUUUACUAUUUACUGCUUAUGAGCAUUGAGUGUGGUCAAGCUGUGUAGACCCUUAGGAGCUUGUCAUGUGGUUAAAUCAAGAUUCACUUGCACGUUCACUCAUAUAUGCUACUUCUACUCUGGAAGUACCAUCCACAUAUAUCCACCCAUUUCCAUCUCUAGAAUCACCCAAAAAUAUUAUACUCCUAAUCCGGGAGAGAAUAGCCAAAAAUAUUUCUGUUUUUUCCUUGUGAAAUAAAUUCUCAAGUUAUCUUGUUACUACCACUUGCUAUAUUAUCUCAAGAGAUGAAUGCUCUAAAAAAAGAGAGAAAAAAGAUACGAGGAAAUAAAAAGGAGCAAGUGCUCGGAACCUCGAAAGAAACGAAAAAAGUGAGACGAGAGGUAAAAAAAGACAAGUGUCCGACAGUAGAAUUAGGGGUACAAGAUACCCACCUGAGAGAAAAGAAAAAGAAGAGCAUCUCAUUCUCCUCACUAUUCAAAAAGCAAGGAAGGUAUGUAUCCCCUCAAGGAGCAAAGUAGAAUUAGAAUUUCACCAUUGCUACCACCAUCAUCACCAUACACCAUUCAUUCGCCACACAUGCACAUCUUGAUUUGACUUAAUGAUUUGUUUCUUUCGAUCCAUGGUUUGACUAUGCAAUACAUGUCUUGUAAGUAUGUAUACUUUAUCUCCCACCUAUGAGCUCCAGAUAUUAAAAGCCUUAUUAGAGUAGGGUGAGAGAGAAGGCAAUGUCACUAUGCUUCAUACCACAAAUACUACAUAUCUUGAGAGAAGGCAUAUACCAUCACUGCCUUGGUAAGGAUCCAGAAAUACCACAAAAGAGACAUCUGAGAGAAUCAUACAAGGAAUCUCUGAGUUUUAUUUGAAAAUCUGCAAAAAACCCCAGAGCUAUAGCUGAUCAAGAAUAAGAGACAUGGCACUUGACUAGACUGUUCUAUCUUUUAACCACUCAAGACAGAAGUGACGGUUACAAGUCCCAUGGUGAAAGGUAAAGUAAGUAAGUUUUAAGUCUUGACAGUUUACUCUAACUCAGAGAUGAGAUCUCAUUUAAAAAGCAUGUGUACCGUCAAUUUUUAAAGAUAUUGCAACAACUUCUAAUCCAUCGCUGAGUCUAUCCUUGCUCAGGGACGAGCAAGAGAUAAGCUUGGGGGAGUUUGUUGACGGUCCUUAAGUAUCAAAUUUAAUUAUCAGAUAAAUAAAGAAAAGGAUCCAAAUGAAAUCAACAUCAAGACUUAGGGAUUUAUCUGAUGGAAUUCCACGAGUUUUGGUGUUUGUCUAUUUCUGCAGGGGGUUAUCAGGAAAUAUGGAAGAAAGGCCCACACGUCGGGAUUACAUAGAGAUAUUAACGUGCCGCGCAAUUAUCUUACAUCUAGAAGACUCUAGAAGCCACGAGACCGAAGCGGAGACAAAGCGGGGCCAGAGGCAGGGCGCCCGCCCUGUUCCCUUAGGCGCCCGCCCCCUCCCUGAGUCCAAUCAGGACUCUGCUUCGUGGGAGAUCUCCACCGACCAAAAGGAUGAAUCUAAACCAUACAAUCUAUGUUGGUUUGAUCCAACGGCCCAUAUUCACUUGAAGGGACUAUAAAACCAGACCCCCUGGCUCCUGGAGGAGAGAGCCUCUCAACCCUAAUUCAUUAUUCUCAAGGGAGAAGAAGCCUCUGAUCAAGAUUAGAGCCACCACAUCAAUUAGAUAUCUAGAUUAGCAUAGCUACAUAGGAUUAGAACUAGAAGGAGUCAAUCUUUGAUUGGUUUCCGGAUCUGUCAAGAGGAUUCUUGGUAAUUCUCUAAUUGUGCUUCUAAUUGUUUUCUAAUUAUCUUUGUUCUUCAAUAUUAUGAAUAUGACUUUGUUCUACUUCAAUAUAUUGCUUAUGACUUUGCUCUACUUGCUUAUAUUCAAGAUUAUAUUGUUCUUAGUUUAUCAUAGUUAUGUACUUGGCUUAGUUAGAUUGGAUCUAUAUACAUGCUUAGGAUCGUAUAGCGUUUAUCCAUCGGAUCCAUGGGUAAAUGAUUGAUAUUAUUGUGUUGGCGUGGUGCUUAUACCGUAUUUAUCUGCGAUUGUACCCAAUAUGCCAGAUCGUGGGGUAGUUCGUGAUAGUGACAGCUUCAUUGAUUCUUAUAUAGUCCCCCUCUUGUGUAUUGGGCUGGCAGAGCAAUAUUAUUACAGGGGAGUGAUUGCUAUGUUUCUCAUUUACCUUGCUAAUAUCACUAUGCAUGGGCGUAGUCUUGUCUCACAAUGAUUGCUAAGUAUGCUUGCACUAACUAUGAUAAUGCUAGACUAUAUAGUUGAGAAUAACUUAGGAAAUAUUCUUGUAGUUCGUUCUAAUUCCAUGCUAAUGACUUUCUAGAGUAUCAAAUUGAGGUGCUUAUCAUAUUUAUAUGUGGCUGAUCAGAUCAAUUAUCUUUGUCACUAUUCAUUAUUUCAUAUAUCUUUUAUGUGACACUUAUCCCAGUAUGAAGAGUUAGAUAAAUGUUCUCAAUUACAUAUGCAAUGAUAAAUACUCAAUCUCAUAUUCUAUUCUGUAAUCAAUAUUAAUGAUUGCUAAUCCCUUCCCAGUGGUAAAAAUAUAAAUAACGAUACCUGGAAUACUUCCCGGUUAAAAUGCUACAUCGGUGUUAAUCUGUGCACUUGCAGAUCCCAUUCAUUAUUUAUUUAGAAGAGCAAUUGCAUAUUUCAAUACCGCGUCUCUUAUAUCAUGCUGGGGAUGACAACUUGGCUUAAGUGGUGUGAGGGAUAUGUUUGGCAUUUUUGGUACCGUUACUAGAUUUAGAGAACCUAGUCUACUUUUGGUAAUGAUGUUAAGAAUACCCAACAGUGAGCACUUCACCCGGGAGGUUAUCCAAAGUAUCGUAUUUAUAUUUUUACCACUAGGAGAAAGAGUGCAUCUGACUAACCCAGUCUAUUACUACUAACCAUUAGGCUACAAAGAAUGUUUCUCGAUGUGAGCGAUGUAUAGAGAAUACUACAACCGUAAUCUCUUUCUAACCUUGGUAAGGAUGAUCUACUGUUCUAUUGGGAAGCUUACGGAAUCUAGACACCAUAGAGGAUGUUCAACCCGCACCUAUAAACCCUAUCCUUCCUGCUAACGAGAUAUGGCCUGCAAAGGUAACUCGGAAAUGUCACGUUCCUCGCUACUACCACGGUCCAGCUAGUCAGAGGAUAUCCAUGAGUAUCCUAGCCCAAACACCAUGUCUACGCUAGAGAUGAUUACUCUAAACUCUACGCGAAGAGAUUAAAGUAAACUCAUAAACUAAAGAACAAUAAAACAAGAACUUACUAGAAUUUAGAAGUCGAAAUACUGAAGAAUCCUAGGAGCAAGCUUCGGGUUAGGAGAACUUGAUCCCGCAGGUACAACCUCGGAGUAGACACCGACAGGCCGGGCUUCCUCCGAUCUACACCUCCACUCUAUCUCUCUCAAUCUAGUAGAAACUAGAAGAUCUAAUUCUACUCACAUUGGAUGCUAAGCCCUAAGUCUAUUUAGAGGAGAGGUAUUCUUUCGAGGGCUCCUCUCAACUCUAUGAUGAACUUGUUCUCCUCCAGGGGCCAGGGGGUCUACUUAUAUAGUUCCCUCAGGUGAACGUGGGUCGUUGGAUCAAACCGACAUUGAUUGAACGGUUAUCCUUGAUCCUUUAGGUCGGUGGAGCAUAAUCCUGAAAGAGAGUCCUGAUUGGACUCCAAAGGGGGGCGGGUGCCCUGGUCCGUAGGGCGAGCGCCCUGGGCUAGGCCCCGUUCUGCCUCUGCUUCGUUCUCGUGGCUUCUGGAGUCUUCUAGAUGGUAGAAAAUUGUGCGGUGCGUUAAUAUCUCUAUGUAAUCCCGUCAUGUGGGCCUUUCUUCCUUAUUUCCUGAUAACCCCCUGCAGAAACAGAUAAAAAACAAAACUCGUGGAAUUCUAUCAGAUCAAACCGUAAUCCUAGGUGUUGUUUGCAUAUUGGUCCUUUCUCUUGUUUAUUUGAUAAUUAAAAUUGAUACUUAAGAACUGUCAACAAAUACCCCCAUACUUAGGCUUUUACUCGUCCUCGAGAAAAGGAUGGUUAAGAAAAAUAUCUAGGGUAAAACAUUUUAAAACAUUUUCUUCAUACCUGCAGGGUGUUGUAAAAAUUCACUGUGUACUGUAGUUAGGGAAGUAUAUGGUUAAGAGUAGAGAUCCUUUAUUCUCAAUCCUGUUACUUGGAGUUUUUAUAUAUUUUUGAAAAGAAAUCUAGCAUACCUUUAUCCUCACAGGUUCUCUCAGGUCACUCAUUAUCUCUUAUAUCUCACUGAGGCUGUUUUAAUUUGCAAAAAUUCUCAAGCAUACUUACUUUGCAUUUAUUGCCUGAUCAAAACGGGAUCCGAGGAGAAGACUGCCAUACUCUUAGAUCAAAGACUUUGGAAAUUAAAAACAUGUCAACUCUUACUGGCAUAUUGCUUAUUAGAGGGACCAUGGGCUAUUAUUUUCUUUCUUUUCUCUUUUUUUAGGUGGAUACCGAGGUACCCCUAAUUCUACUGUCGGACACUUGUCCAUUUUUUCUGCGAGGUUAUCGAGCACUUGCUCCUUUUUAUUUCCUCGAAAUAUCCUUAUUUUUGCAUAGCCCAUGCCUCUAAUGCAAUAAUACUUUGGAAGAGUGUAUCUUUCUGAAUAAAUGUCUUGAUCUUAGGAGCAUGAUAAAUCUCUCAACAAGGGUCUAACUCAUUUUGAACAAACUCAAUACAAAGUAGAUAGCUUUUAUAAUUAUCAUGAUUAAUAUUUUCAGGUUUAUCAGGCAUAUAAAACACUGAGGAUGGUAGCUACAAUUUUUUGAAUAAAUUCUCCAAGCAACAAUGAUAUCAAGAAUAAGGUACUCAUACUCUACCAUCUCACAUUCCACAAUGACUUAAGUAACACAGGGUUUUAAAAUGAUUUUUCAAUAAUUGCAGGUUUUCAGGAAAUAUCACAGAGUGAGAUUAAUCAUGAUUAGAAACAUUUUAAUCUUUUUAAUUUAUCAUGUCAGAGACAAUAUUCUGCAUAAUCCAAGUAAAGUGUGCAGAGUAUGUAACUGAAUCGUGGAGUGGUGUAGUCGAAGUGUGUUUGGCAUGUCGAGGGAUCUCCCCCAUACUUGUUUUCUGCUUUCUUGCAUAAAAGUAAAGUAGAGACACACAAGACAUAAUAAUAAUACUCUUUAUUAAUCUUGAGGCAUUUAUUACAAAUUACUAAUAGCAAACUGACGAUAAUAAUAAAUCUAAACCGAAUUUAAAGAUAAAUAACUAAGAUGCAUUGCCUCAAGAUCUAAUCUAGAUAACUUAGCGGCGCUCUAACUCCUUGAUCUUAUUAUUGGCACUAGCAAGAUCAUGCCUAAGACCUAGUAUCACCAUGUUGUGGUUAGAGAGCUGCCUAGUGAUGGAGUUAACCGAGGACUGGAGGUCUAUGAUGACCCUAUCUAGCCUGCGAACGUCCUCAUCAAUAUCUACUAUAGUCUUGCGACGCUUAGGAGGUGUCUCGAGAGCAUUGAGAGCGUGCUUCGGGGCUGCCUUUGGAGGGAUGAAACAGACUUUGGCUGCUCUAAUCCCCUCAAAGUAAGGCCUCUCCACGUCCGUAGUGUAGCGGAUGCUGCUAAUCUCGCCGCUACAGUUGGUCUUGACUCCAAUGACCCUCUCAUUGGGUCAAGGUGGAAGGAUCCUAGUGCCGGCUGGCACCUUGAUGGUGGUCUCCUUCUUGGCUGAUGGUCCCUUGAGAAGUAGGGGUUGUGGCGGUGCGGUGAGAACUGGUUGAGCAUGGUAGGAUUGGGCGGAGCUGUGCUGGCAUAAUGGCAUGGCUUCUAGCUGUCGCUCUAUGUUGGCCGGGACGAGAGCACGGGCGUCGGGGUCUUACUUAGGCUUCUUGUUGAGGUAGUAGGGAACGACUUCCCAAUCGUCGUGGAACUCUUCGACCAUUGGAGCAGCGAGGAACUAAGCAAGCUCUAAUUGAAGAAGGAGAGAAGGCUUGAAUAGAUUGGUGUUUGAAAACUGACGUCAGGGGUCUGUUUAUAUAGGGGUCAAAAAGUGCCUCUAGGGGUUGUUCGGGUUACUCCCGUCGCCGUGCGUGUGAAACUUUUCAUCUGAAGGAUUAUUUGGUUUACCAUAAGUGUGUUUUCCAUGACAGGGGAAAUCGGGACCGAGAGGGGGUAGGGGCUGGGCGCCCGCCCUGUGUCUGACCCCUUUGUGGGUCUGCUUCCUCGAGCGAGUUUCUAGAUGCAAAACUUAUUAGGAAAAUAUAUACAUGGCCCUAAAACGUUAGAUUAAAAAGGUUGGGCUCUAAAUCUCCAUGGGAAGGUAGAAAUGGAUUACGUCUAUUUCUUCUAAUUCUUUUUUAGGCUCUAAAACUAAUUUAAGACGUUGACCAUUUACCUUGAAUAACGUACCUUCGUCAUUUUGAAGUGUGAUAGCUCCGUGGGAUGACUAAUUGAUUACCUUGAAUGGUCCUUCCCAUUUACUCUGGAGUUUUCCAGGCCCGAAAAGCUUCACCCUAGAAUUAAAAAGAAAUACCUUAUCUCCGGGUGCGAACUCCUUCUUCUUGAUCCUCUUGUCAUGCCACCUUUUGAUAUGCUUUCUCUCGCCAUUCUUCCAAUUCUGAUAGUUGCAUUGUUCUAUGGUCUCCAGCGACAUCUAGGUCCAUAUUCCAUCUCCUUAUGGCCCAAUGUGCUUUGAAUUCUAGUUCAACAGGUAGGUGGCAAGUCUUCCCGUACACCAAUUGGUAUGGGGACAUUCCAAUUGGGGUCUUGUAUGUUGUCCGGUAUGCCCAGAGUGCAUCGGGUAACUUGUCUUUCCAUGCCGUUCCCAUUUCAUUCACUGUCUUCUGAAGAAUAUUCUUGAUUUGCUUGUUGGAAGUCUCUGCUUGGCCACUUGUCUGAGGAUGAUAGGGGGUAGCGACGCUGUGACGGAUUCCAUGUUUUGAUAGAUAUUGGUUGAAGCGUUUGUCGAUGAAGUGUGCUCCUCCAUCACUUAUCACUACUCUGGGGACUCCAAAUCUUGGAAAUAUAAUUUCUUCAAACAUCCUCUUUGAACUGAUGUUGUCGGCAUGCUUCCAAGGUAAUGCCUCUAACCACUUGGUGACGUAGUCAACUGCCACCAAGAUGAACUCACACUUCUUUGAUGGGGGAAAUGGACCCAUGUAAUCUAUUCCCCAAACAUCAAAGAGCUCAAUCUGAAGGUUGUUGGUGAGUGGCAUGGCAUCCCCUGUGUUUAUGUUUCCGUGUCUUUGACAUGGCCCACAUCUUCUGAUAUAUUGCUUCGUGUCUUCAUACAUUGUAGGCCAGUAUAAUCCACACUGCCAGAUCUUUGAAUGUGUACAGAAUGCUCCAUAAUGACCUCCAUAAGGUGAUGAAUGACAUGUGUCAAUGAUCUUCCAUCCUUCCUCGGUGGUCACACAUCUCUUGAGUAAACCAUCAGAGCUUACUCGGAAGAGGUAUGGCUCAUCCCAUAUAUGUGAAUGACUUUCUUGAAUAAGCUUAUUCUUGUUUGCUCCUAGUGGUACAUACCCUGAAACCAUAAAAUUAACAAUAUCUGCAUACCAGGGGUCAGACGUGUUAAUCCUGUAGAGCAUGUCGUCCCAGAGUGAAUCAUUGAUGGGGGUUUCGUGUGGAUUCUUAAAAUACAUUCUAGACAAGUGAUCAGCAACAAAAUUUUCUACUCCCUUUUUAUCUUUUAUUUCUAAGUCAGAUUCUUGAAGUAAUAAGAUCCAUCUAAUCAGGCGAGGUUUAGCAUCUUUUUUAGUGAGAAGAUAUUUUAGUGCAGCAUGAUCAGUAUAAACAAUUAUUUUAGCUCCAACUAAAUAAGAUCUAAAUUUAUCAAUGGCAAAGACAACAGCCAGAAGCUCUUUUUCAGUGGUUGCAUAAUUAAGUUGAGCUCCUGUCAAAGUUUUACUGGCAUAAGCAAUUGCAUGAUGCUUCUUAUUUUUAGUUUGUCCCAAAACUGCCCCCACAGCAUAAUCCAUAGCAUCACACAUAAUUUCAAAAGGCAACGACCAAUCAGGGGGUUGAAUGAUUGGUGCAGAGAUGAGUGCAUUCUUUAAUAAAUUGAAAGAUGUUAGGCAUGCAUCAUCAAAUUCGAAAGGAACAUCGUUGGCUAGCAAAAGAGUAAGUGGUCUAGCAAUAAAUGAAAAAUCUUUUAUGAAUCUACGAUAAAAACCAGCAUGGCCAAGAAAGCUUCGAAUUCCUUUUACAUUCACAGGUGGAGGUAGUUGUUCAAUUACUUCAAUUUUAGCUUUGUCUACCUCAGUACCUCUUUCAGACACUAGGUGUCCCAACACUAUUCCUUCCCUCACCAUAAAAUGACAUUUUUCCCAGUUAAGAACUAAGUGCUUUUCUUCACAUCUUUGCAAAACCUUGUCUAAGUUUUCAAGACAACUAUCAAAACUUUUUCCAUAAACAGAGAAAUCAUCCAUGAAAACUUCCAUAAUCUCUUCAAUCAUAUCAGAAAAUAUAGAUAUCAUGCAUCUUUGAAAAGAAGCUGGUGCAUUACAUAACCCAAAAGACAUUCUACGGUAAGCAUAAGUUCCGUAUGGGCAUGUAAAAGUGGUUUUGCUCUGAUCAUCGGGAUGGAUCGGGAUCUGGUGAUACCCUGAAUAUCCAUCUGUUGGUGCAAAAGCUGAUCUGCAAACACAAAGGGCUAAUACCCGAUUUAAACGUUAAGGCGUGCCAGCCGAUUUGACCUUACUAUCGGCAAAGGUGAUAACUCGAACACUUUGGUCCCAACCACAGCGAUGCGCUCGGAUGUCACGGCCAAGAGGUGCUCACGCGGAACUUGAGAACGCGCCGAGCUUAAGUCGACGAAUUCCUAAGAACUCGUAGUAAAAAGGAAAAUGUGACGAAGUCGUCGAAAAAGUAGAUGCUGGAAUAUGAGUAAAAAUUUGUGUUUGAUUGAUUGAUAGAUUGUUCAUUACAAGGCCCUAGGGUCUACAUUUAUACCCUGCUUAAAGAGCUACAAUCAGACACGACUAGGACUCAAAUUCCAAAUCAAACGGAAUCCGUAUACAAAACAAAUUUAAAUAACUAAGGAAAACAUAAAACUAUCCCCUUGUAAUCGACCGGGACACCGCCACAGAUCAAUCGGCAACCUCUACGCUUUCCUUCAGAAUCAUCGCCAGACCUCCUGUCAUGGCCAUCGGCAAACACUGAUACCGAUCAUCGGCACGAACAUGUCACCACCUCUGGACUUAGUCACAUUCAACUGUCUCUUCAUCGGCAACUUCCCUGCAGACUAGUUACCGUUGCUCCAUCUGCCGAUCUAUACUUUACCGAUCCCCAGGUACGUGUCUAAAAAUGGUGUCAACACAUGCCCCCUAAUUUCGGAGUAUAAAAUCAUUAAUGCUCCAAAAUUCUCUGCAGUAAUGAUGCCUUUCCGCAAUUAAUUUUCCCCAUUUGGUAACCGUUCGUCAAAUCCGAACAACCUUGGCCCGAUUCUCUUGUAUAUUCCUCAAAUUCCUCAACCUCCCGAUCCAAACCUCUCCACUUUAUGCACCCAUCGGCAAUAUUACCGUUAGAGGGAACUGCCGAUGGACCGACCAGGAGAUCUUGCACAGUGAAAUAUCUCCAAAAUCAUGACCGCUUGCCGUCAAAUCAUCUGCGCAAACCCUUGAUUACCAUGCGAACAGUUACCAUAUCCACCUGAGUACCCUCGGAUUUCACGGAUGCGGCGAAGAGAUAAGUCAGAUUUGCCCCUGCCCGUUUUGUCCUAUAAAUACUUCCUUCUCUGGUACUCGUUCUCCAUCUUGUCAUUCUACAGCCCAAAAUCCACUUUCACGGCGGCGGCACCAUCCGAGGUCUCCAAGAACUUCAACGAAGGCUUUCUUCACCAAUCCCCCAAGUCUUCGACCUUCUUUCUUGUAAGAAAAUGGCCAUCAACUUCAUCGUGCCUGAGGUCAGUUCACCACCCCUCUUUUCCGCACCUUUACUGUACUCCUGUUCAUCCGCAAUUCAUCUUACUGAAUACCCCUUUUUCUUUAUUGUUCUUCUUUUUAUCCUCAAAAACCUCUAGGAUCUGGCUGAUAAGAUCGUUAUUCCUACCGAUCAACCGCACCUCCAAUGUCUUGGCCCACUAGGAAACCCAGAUCCUACCGAUCUGAUAAACGCAGAGACAAACAGAGUUCCUUUUAGAGCCGAAAACUUUUCCCUAGAUCUAUGGAAAGAUGCCUUCCGUUCCUGGCCCAGUCCUACCAAGGGAUGGAAGGAUUGGUUCUGGAGAGUCAGCCACUCAAAUGAGGUUCAAUGGGGCGAGCGAAAAUUAGAUCGGUGCAUUAGGUUGUCUCUUGCCAAUAUGGAGAGAAAUGAGUCACUGCUAAUUGCUGCCUCCUACUUUUGGUCGGACACGCUUAACGCUUUUGUCCUUGGCCACGGCCCUACUUCUCCUACACUUGCCGAUGUGCUCAUGCUUACCGGCUUAGAUAUAUCCACUCCUGAUAACAGCCAUCUAUUUGACACCAGACCCAGUUCUAAGGUAGAAUCUCGCUCUAUCGGUGGUUGGUCUGGGUAUAUUCAGAAAUACCGAAGAACAGGACCUGUUAAUCCAAAUGAACAGACCACUUUCCUGAAUAUGUGGCUGGAUAAGUUUGUAUUCUGUGGCCGAUCGGCAGGACGGACCUCUGUCUACUUAUCGGCAGCAGAAAGAUUAGCCGAUGGUGGCCGAUUCCCUCUUGGCCGAUACCUGCUCGGCUCUGUCUAUCACCUCCUCCACCAUGUAGCCAGGAAACUUCUGCUCGGCCAACCCAUCAGCAACUUAGGGGGUCCUUGGUGGUUUAUCAACAUGUGGCUUAGUCUUCACAUGCACAAGCGCCUCGAAUUCGACCUCUUUGCACAGCGCUUCCCCAGGGACAUAGCCGAGGACAAUGAACUGCAUGAAGAAGAAUCGGCAACUCGCCCUCCCUUGAACUUUGGCGAGGCUGCCAUAGUCUUACCUGGCACUGGUGGUAAUGAAGACCAGGUUAGCCAAUUCUUUCUGACUCUAUAUGAAGGUCUGACUAGAGAACAUCGAGCGUGGAUGCCUUAUGAAAAUCCAGAUACCAGAUUUCCCCUGAUCUUCCACCCCUUCAAUUAUGCUCUCAACAAGGACCGUGACGUGAUGAUUGCAAUUAUCACCCCAAGGGCCAUACCCGUGAACUUCUUUGGCAGUGGGAAAGCUUCUAACCUGACCUAUGAAUUUUAUAACCCAUCGGCACUAGCUCGCCAAUUGGUUUCGGCCAAUUGCCGAUCGCACUUUGCUACGCCGAUGUGAUAAAGCCAAGGGAGACUAUCACCAGCAAUCUUGAAUGGAUCAGGGUAGCACAACUUCCGCCAAACACCGAUACAGAUGUCGAUCUAUCGGCUUGGAUCCCAGCCCUCUUCAUUACUCAGGCAUACAAACAGUGGUGGGAAGAAUGGAAAGAGAAUCUGUUCUGCAGAUCGGCCCUUACAUACCGUGGUAUGAUCGACCCCAAAUACAAAGUCCCUGAUAAUACUGUAAGUACUUUAAACUGAUACUCCAACCCUUUCAUUUUUACUUCCCAUCGGUAACUUACUUUCUUUGUUGUAUACAGGUCGAUGAUAUGCCACCAUUAGUCAGCAGGAGUGGCAGGCCGAUUGAACUCCUUCCAUCGGGCCUGAUUUCUUUGAUCGGCAACAACGCUCAAACCUUGGCUACUAUAAUGCAUCGGGGUGUGCGUCUUAAGAAAGUCACCACCAAGCGGACGAAAACAUCCCCAUCGGUAGCUGCCACUGCUUUGGCACAAGCCUUCAAGGUAAAUUCUCAAAUUCUUCAACUUAUACCGAUUCCAUUCUUAUACUUACACAAAUUUUCAGGACACAUCGGCUAGCAUGGGAGCUUCAUCGGUAGCUUUACUAUUUUACUAGAACCUCAUCAAUAUCCUGUUACACUUGUACUCACAAAACUUUCAUUGUUGUAUCAGCACACUAGCAAAUCGGCAAAGACCAGAAGCACGACUGCCGAUGCCCCCCAGUCCAGCCAACCAAAGAGAAAAGGUUCCAAGAGCACCAGAACACAAGCCAAGCGUCAGAGAACAGCAACGCCUCACCCUCCUCCAAGGUCACCGAUCCUGAUGGAAUUGUCUCCCUCUUCUCCAGAAGCUCAGAUACAACAAGCGCCGUCUCCUCUUCAGCCACAAGAAGAACCCCAAACAGAAGAACUCCAGCUAGAAGAACCUCAGCCAGAAGGAACAUCGGCUGAUGUACACGAGCAGACCGCUGAUCCAGCAAGCUUAAUCAUAUCAUUGGUAGUCUCCUUGAUUCAGACAAGUACUGCACCCCCUCAAGGUAACACACUUUCUAUUUAUUGCCGAUGAACCUGUUGAUAUUUGGGAACGCAGUAAGGAAUGGAUCCGCAAGCACACGGAUAUCGGUGAGCCCUUCACCCGGGAGGUUAUACAGAUUAUCGUAUUUAUUUUUUUACCACUAGGAGAAAGAGUGCAUCUAACUAACCCGGUCUAUUACUACUAACCCUUUAGGCAACAAAGAAUGUUUCUCGAUGUGAGUGAUAAAUAGAGAAGACUACAACCGUAAUCUCCUUCUAACCUUGGCAAGGAUGAUCUACUGUUCUAUUGGGGAGGCUAACGGAAUCUAGACACCACAAAGGAUGUUCAACCCGCACCUAUAAACCCUAUCCUUCCUGCUAACGAGAUAUGGUCUUCAAAGGUAACUCGAAAAUGUCACGUUCCUCGCUACUACCACGGUCUAGCUAGUCAGGGAAUAUCUAUGAGUAUCCUAGCUUAAACACCACGUCUACGCUAGAGAUGAUUACUCUAAACUCUACGCAAAGAGAUUAAAGUAAACUCAUAAACCAAAAGAACAAUAAAAUAAGAACUUACUAGAAUUUAGAUGUCGAAAUACUGAAGAAUCCUAGGAGCAAGCCUCGGGUUAGGAGAACUUGAUCCCGCAGGUACAAGCUCGGAGUAGACACCCACACGCCGGGCUUCCUCCGAUCUACACCUCCACUCUAUCUCUCUCAAUCUAGUAGAAACUAGAAGAUCUAUUUCUACUCACAUUGGUUGCUAAGCCUAAAAAGCAAUUUUAUUUAGAGAACAGGUUUUCCUUCGAGGGCUCCCCUCAACUCUAUGAUAAACUUGUCUCCUCCAGGGGCCAGGGGGUCUGGUUUUAUAGUCCCUUCAAGUGAACGUGAGCCAUUGGAUCAAACCGACAUUGAUUGGAUGGUUAUCCUUGAUCCUUUAGGUUGGUGGAACGUCGUGUGUGAAAAGAGUCCCGAACCAAGUCUAGAGGGGGGCAGGCGCCCAGGUCAACUGGGCGGGCGCCCAGUGCCUGGCCCCGUUCGGCCUCCGCUUCCUUCCCGUGGCUUCUGGAGUCUUCUAGAUGGUAGAAAAUUGCGCGGUGCGUUGAUAUCUCUAUGUAAUCCCAACAUGUGGGCCUUUCUUCCUUAUUUCCUGAUAACCCCCUGCAGAAACAGAUAAACAACAAAACUCGUGGAAUUCUGUCAGAUCAAACCCUAAUUCUAGGUGUUGUUUGCAUAUUGGUCCUUUCUCUUGUUUAUUUGAUAAUUAAAAUUGAUACUUAAGAACCGUCAACAAAUACCCCCAUACUUAGGCUUUUACUCGUCCUAGGGAAAAGGAUGGUUAAGAACAAUAUCUGGGGUAAAACAUUUUUAAAACAUUCUCUUCAUAACUGCAGGGUGUUAAAAUCCACUGUGUACUGUAGUCACGGAAGUAUAUGGUUAAGAGUAGAGAUCUUUUCUUCUCAAUCCUGUCACUUGGAGUUUUUGUAUAUUUUUGAAAGAAAGUUAGCAUACCUUUUAUCCUCAUAGGUUUUCUCAGAUCACUCAUUAUCUUUUAUAUAUCUCACUGAGGCUAUUUUAAUUUGCAAAAAUUCUCAAGCAUACUUACUUUACAUUUAUUGCUUGGUCAAAACGGGAUCCGAGGAGGGGAGUGUCAUACUCUUAGAUCAAAGACUUUGGAAAUUAAAAUCCUUGUCAACUCUUACUGGCAUAUUGCUUAUUAUAGGGACCAUGGUCUAUCAUUUUCUUUUUGUUCUCUCUUUUUUUUUAAGUGGAUACCAAGGUAUCCCUAAUUCUACUGCCGGACACUUAUCCUUUUUUUCUACGAGGUUGUCGAGCACUUGCUCCUUUUUAUUUCCUCGAAAUAUCUUUAUUUUUUUGCAUAGCCCAUGCCUCUAAUGCAAUAAUACUUCGAAAGAGUGAAUCUUUGUGAAUAAAUGUCUUGAUCUUAGGAGCAUGAUAAAUCUCUCAACAAGGGUCUAACUCAUUUUGAACAAACUCAAUACAGAGUAGAUAGCCUUUAUAAUCAUAAUUAAUAUUUUCAGUUUUAUCAGGCAUAUAAAACACUGAGGAUGGUAGAUAGAAUUUGAAAUAAAUUCUCCAAGCAACAAUGAUAUCAGGAAUAAGAAACUUAUACUCUACCAUCUCAUAUUCCACAAUGACUUAAGUAACACAGGAUUUUUAAAAUGAUUUUUUAAUAAUUGCAAGUUUCAAGAAAUAUCAUAGAGUGAGAUUAAUCAUGAUUAGAAACAUUUUAAUCUUUAUCAUGUCGGAAACAAUAUUCUGCAUAAUCCAAGAUAUGUGUAAAGUAAAGUGUGCAGAGUGUGUACCUGAAUUGUGGAGUGGUGUAGUCGAAGUGUGUUUGUCAUGUCGAGUGAUCUCCCCCAUACUUGUUUUCUGCUUUCUUGCACAAGGAUAAAGUAGAAACACACAAGACAUAAUAAUAAUAAUAAUAAUAAUAAUAAUAAUAAUAAUAAUAAUAAUAAUAAUAAUAAUAAUAAUAAUAAUAAUAAUAAUAAUAAUAAUAAUAAUAAUAAUAAUAAUAAUAAUAAUAAUAAUAAUAAUAAUAAUAAUAAUACUCUUUAUUAAUCUUGAGGCAUUUAUUACAAAAGACUAGUAGCAAACUGACGAUAAUAGUAACAAACUGAUGAUAAUAGUAAACCUAAACCGAAUUUAAAGAUAGAUAACUAAGAUGCAUUGCCUCAAGGUAAAGUGUAAAGUAAAGUGUGCAGAGUGUGUACCUGAAUUGUGGAGUGGUGUAGUCGAAGUGUGUUUGUCAUGUCGAGUGAUCUCCCCCAUACUUGUUUUCUGCUUUCUUGCACAAGGAUAAAGUAGAAACACACAAGACAUAAUAAUAAUAAUAAUAAUAAUAAUAAUAAUAAUAAUAAUAAUAAUAAUAAUAAUAAUAAUAAUAAUAAUAAUAAUAAUAAUAAUAAUAAUAAUAAUAAUAAUAAUACUCUUUAUUAAUCUUGAGGCAUUUAUUACAAAAGACUAGUAGCAAACUGACGAUAAUAGUAACAAACUGAUGAUAAUAGUAAACCUAAACCGAAUUUAAAGAUAGAUAACUAAGAUGCAUUGCCUCAAGGUAAAGUGUAAAGUAAAGUGUGCAGAGUGUGUACCUGAAUUGUGGAGUGGUGUAGUCGAAGUGUGUUCGGCAUGUCGAGUGAUCUCCCCCAUACUUGUUUUCUGCUUUCUUGCACAAAAGUAAAGUAGAGACACACAAGACAUAAUAAUAAUAAUAAUAAUACUCUUUAUAUACUCUUUAUUAAUCUGGAGGCAUUUAUUACAAAUGACUAGUAGCAAACUGACGAUAAUAGUAAAAUCUAAACCGAAUUUAAAGAUAAAUAACUAAGAUGCAUUGCCUCAAGAUCUAAUCUAGAUAACUUAGCGGCGCUCUAAUUCCUUAAUCUUCUUAUUGGCACUGGCAAGAUCAUGCCUAAGGCCUAAUAUAACAGUGUUGUGGUUAGAGAGCUGCCUAGUAAGGGAAUUAAUCGAGGACUGGAGGUCUAUGAUAACUGUGUCUACCCUGCGAAUGUCCUCAUCAAUAUCCAUUAUAGUCUUGCAACGCUUGGGAGGUGUCUCAAAAGCAUUGAGAGCAUGCUUCGGGGCUGCCUUUGGAGGGAUGAAACGAACUUUGGCUGCUCUAACCCCUUCAAAGUAAGGCCUUUCCUCCUCCAUAGUGUAGCGUACACUGCUGAUCUCGCCGCUCCGGUUGGUCUUGACUCCAACGACCCUUUCAUUGGGUCUGGGUGGAAGGAUCCUCAUGCCGGUUGGCACCUUGAUGGUGGUCUUCGUCUUGGAUGAUGAUCCCUUAAGGAGUAGGGGUUGUGGCGGUGCGGUGAGAACUGGUUGAGCAUGGUAGGAUUGGGCGGAGCUGCGUUGGGGUAAUGGCAUGGCUUCUAGCUGUCGCUCUGUGUUGGCCGAGACGAGAGCACAGGCGUCGGGGUCUUCCUCAGGCUUCAUGUUGAGGUUGAAGGGGACGACUUCCCAAUCAUCGUGGAACUUCUCGGGCAUUGGAGCAGCAAGGAACUAAUCAAGCUCUAAUUGAAGAAGAGAAGGCUUGGUGGUUUGGUGUUUGAAAACUGAUGUCAGGGGUCUGUUUAUAUAGGGGUCAAAAAGUGCCGCUAGGGGUUGUUCGGGUUGCUCCCGUCGAUGUGCGUGCAAAACUUUCCAUCUGAGGGAUUAUUCGGAUUACCAUUAGUGCAUUUUCCAUAACAGAGAAAAUCGGGACCGAGGGGGAACAGGAGCUGGGCACCCGCCCACCUGAUCUGGGCGCCCGCCCUCUCUCUGGCCCCUCUGUGGGCCCACUUUCUCGAGCGCGUUUCUAGAUGCAAAACUAUUUACGAAAAUAUGUGUAUGACCCAAAAACAUCAGACUAAAAAGGUCGGGCUCUAAUUCUCCAUGGGAAGGUAAAAAUGGACUAGUCUAUUUCUUCUAAUUCUUUAUUGGGCUCUAAAAAUAAUUUAAGACGUUGACCAUUUACCUUGAAUAACAUACCUUCGUCAUUUUGAAGUGUGAUAGCUCCGUGGGAUGAUGAAUUGAUUACCUUGAAUGGGCCUUCCCAUUUGCUCUGGAGUUUUCCAUGCCCGAAAAGCUUCACCCUGGAAUUAAAAAGUAAUACCUUAUCUCCAGGUGUGGACUCCUUCUUCUUGAUUCUCUUGUCAUGCCACCUUUUGACUCUUUCUUUGUGGACCUUCGAAUUGUGAUAUGCUUUCUCUCGCCAUUCUUCCAAUUCUGAUAGUUGUAUUCUUCUAUGAUCUCCAGCAACAUCUAGGUCCAUAUUCCAUCUCUUUAUGGCACAGUGUGCUUUGAACUCUAGUUCAACACGUAGGUGGCAAGUCUUCCCGUACACCAAUUGGUAUGGAGACAUUCCAAUUGGGGUCUUGUAUGCUGUCCCGUAUGCCCAGAGUGCAUCGGGUAACUUGUCUUUCCAUGCCGUUCCCAUUUCAUUUACUGUCUUCUGAAGAAUAUUAUUGAUUUGUUUGUUGGAAGUCUCUGCUUGGCCACUUGUCUGAGGAUGAUAGGGGGUAGCGAUGUUGUGAUGGAUUCCAUGUUUUGAUAGAUAUUGCUUGAAGCGUUUAUUGAUGAAGUGUGCUCCUCCAUCACUUAUCACUACUCUGGGGACUCCAAAUCAUGGAAAUAUAAUUUCUUCAAACAUCCUCUUGGAACUGAUGUUGUCGGCAUGCUUGCAAGGUAAUGCCUCUACCCACUUGGAGACGUAGUCAACUACCACCAAAAUGUACUCACACUUCUUUGAUGGAGGAAAGGGACCCAUAUAGUCUAUUCCCCAGACAUCAAAGAGCUCAAUCUGAAGGUUGUUGGUGAGUGGCAUUGCAUCCCUUGUAUUUAUGUUUCCGUACCUUUGACAUGGUCCACAUCUUCUGAUAUAUUGCUUCGUGUCUUCAUACAUUGUAGGCCAGUAGAAUCCACAUUGCCAGAUCUUUGAAUGUGUACGGAAUGCUCCAUAAUGACCUCCAUAUGGUGAUGAAUGACAUCUGUCGAUGAUCUUCCAUCCUUCCUCAGUGGUCACACAUCUCCUGAGUAAGCCAUCAGAGCAUACUCGGAAGAGGUAUGGCUCAUCCCAUAUAUGUGAACGACUUUCUUGAAUAAGCUUCUUCUUGUUUGCUCCUGGUGGUACAUACCCUGAAACCAUAAAAUUAACAAUAUCUGCAUACCAGGGGUCAGACCUGUUCAUCCCAUAGAGCAUGUCGUCCCGGAGUGAAUCAUUGAUGGGGGUUUCCUGUGGACUCUUAAAAUACAUUCUAGACAAGUGAUAAGCAACAAAAUGUUCUACUCCCUUUUUAUCUUUUAUUUCUAAGUCAAAUUCUUGAAGUAAUAAGGUCCAUCUAAUCAGGCGAGGUUUAGCAUCUUUUUUAGUGCGCAAAUAUUUUAGUGCAGCAUGAUCAGUGUAAACAAUUAUUUUAGCUCCAACUAAAUAAGAUCUAAAUUUUUCAAUGGCAAAGACAACAGCCAGAAGCUCUUUUUCAUUGGUUGCAUAGUUAAGUUGAGCUCCUGUCAAAGUUUUACUAGCUUAAGAAAUUACAUGAUGCUUCUUAUUUUUAGUUUGUCCCAAUACUGCCCCCACAGCAUAAUCACUAGCAUCACACAUAAUUUCAAAAGGCAACGACCAAUCAUGGGGUUGAAUGAUUGGUGCAGAGAUGAGUGCUUUCUUUAAUAAAUUAAAAGAUGUUAGACAUGCAUCAUCAAAUUCGAAAGGAGCAUCCUUGGCUAGCAAAAGAGUAAGUGGUCUAGCAAUAAAUGAAAAAUCUUUUAUGAAUCUACGAUAAAAACCAGCAUGGCCAAGAAAGCUUCGAAUUCCUUUUAUGUUCACAGGUGGAGGUAGUUGUUCAAUUACUUCAAUUUUAGCUUUGUCUACCUCAAUACCUCUUUCAGACACUAGGUGUCCCAGCACUAUUCCUUCCCUAACCAUGAAAUGACAUUUUUCCCAAUUAAGGACUAAGUGCUUUUCUUCACAUCUUUGCAAAACCUUGUCUAAGUUUUCAAGACAACUAUCAAAAGUUUUUCCAUAAAUAGAGAAAUCAUCCAUGAAAACUUCCAUAAUCUCUUCAAUCAUAUCAGAAAAUAUAGACAUUAUGCAUCUUUGAAAAGAAGCUGGUGCAUUACAUAACCCAAAAGACAUUCUACGGUAAGCAUAAGUUCCAUAUGGGCAUGUAAAAGUGGUUUUGCUUUGAUCAUCAGGAUGGAUCGGGAUUUGGUGAUACCCUGAAUAUCCAUCUAAGAAACAGAAGAACGAAUGGUUUGCUAACCGCUCUAGCAUCACAUCUAUGAAAGGUAAAGGAAAAUGAUCCUUUCUCGUGGCUUUGUUCAGUUUUCUAUAGUCUAUGCACAUCCGCCAUCCUGUGACGGUGCAUUGCGGAAUUAGCUCGUUCUUUUCAUUCAUAAUAACAGUCAUGCCUCCCUUUUUAGGCGCAACUUGAACUGGGCUUACCCACUCACUGUGCAGCAUAGGAUAUAUAAUCCCUGCAUGCAGCAACUUUAUAACUUCCUUUUUAACUACCUCUCUCAUAGUGUUGUUAAGUCUACGUUGGGGUUCUUGAGAAGGUGAAACAGAAGGAUCUGUUGGAAUACGAUGGGUACAAAUCAUAGGACUGAUUCCUGUAAGAUGUUGGAGUGAGUAACCGAAAACUGAGUGAUGUUUCUCAAGAAUGGUCAUUAAUCGCAGAGUUUGCUCCUCAGUGAGUUUAUCGCUAAUGAUCACAGGAAACUCUGGAUUAUUGUUUAGGAAAGCAUAGAUAAGACCGGGUGCUAAAGUUUUAAGCUCUAUGGGGGGGUCUAGGUGUUUCUGCAAACUCAUCUAAGGGUUCAGGUUCAGAAGGUUCGGCUUCUUCUUCUAUGAAGAAAGGAGUUUCGUCUUCUAAGUCUGAUUCUUCUAAAAGUUCAAGAGAUGCAUCCUUUACCUCCUCCAUAGGAUCAGGCAAAAGAUAUGACUCGGCCUUAUUAUUCAAAGAGUGUGAAAUUGUUAUUGGGAUUUUAAAAGCUUUUCUAAAAGAAAUGUGUAGCUUUCCAGUAUGACCUUCAUAAAGGAGUCUUCUAAAAGGUUGUCCUAUCAACAGGUCGAGGUCCCAUGUAUCAAAGAUAUAGAAGUUCAAAUGAACCAUGGAGCCUUCUACCGUAAGAGGUAGGACAUUAAUAAUUCCAAGACUGGGGACUAAUCAUCCUGAAGAUUCCUUUAUGACUUUUGUUGUGGGGGUUAAGACAAGAUUUUUAAAUAGUUUAAGUGCAAAAGUUUCAAACAUGAUGUUGAUCCCCACAACAGGAUUAUAGAGAGCAUUAAAUCGAUCAGAAUUAUAAGCACAGCGUAUAGUUAUAGAGGGUGUGCCCAAAUGGAUCACAUUAGAGGAAAGCUCUGAUUCCUCCAACCACUCGCUACUCAUGACUGAGAUAAGCUCUCUCAAUUGAUAUUCACUUGGAAAAUAAAUGCUAAACUGGCCAUUUUGGGGUUUAUCAAUAGAAUGGUAGUUUGAAAUGUUUCCAAAGUCGGCAAAAAGAUCGGAUUCUAUAUCCAGCAUGAAGUCCGGUGGUGGAAUUUCUUCCUCUUGUGGCUCAGAACAUGGGAUAGCUAAAGUAGAUGAAGAAUUUGGCAGAGUGUCUACUUCGGCUUCGUAGGUUUCAUCAUGAAGGGUAUUAUCCAUCUCAGCUUCUAGGAUUCUAUCAAGGAUCACUCUAGCUUCAUCAGUAGGGAUGCGAAAGAAAGAACCUCUAGACAUUGUGUGUAGCAUUUGUUUGUGAUUUUUCUAAAGACCUCGAAAAAAGUGAAAUAAAAGAAUAGGGUCUUCAAGAUUAUGGUUUGGACCAGAUUCUAAAAGAUUAGAAAAACAUUUCCAAGAUUUUCCCAAAGUUUCAUUAUCUUUUUGUUUAAAAGAUAGGACUUCGAGUCUAAGGUCGCCGAUACGGUCGAGAGAAUAAAAAUCUAGACAAAAGUUGGCUCGUAAAACUCCACAUUCACCUCGUUGUUGACUUACCUUCUGACUGUAUCAUUGUCUAGCUUCUCCCCUUAAGGAAAAAGGAAAAAGCUUCCAACGUAAAGUUUUAUCAGAAAUGCCUUCAAUGCGAAGACAAUCACAUGUUUGCUCAAAAUCUCUAAUAUGAAGGUAAGGGUUUUCGUCUUCCUUUCCCGAAAAAGAUAGGUUUUGAAUCAUAGCAAUCAACCUAGAACUUAACCUAUAUUGGGAUGUUUGGAUAGGCUGUGAUGACUCCCAUGGUAAAAGGUCAGUUUCCGAAGGUGUUGCAAAUUGGUAGAUUGAUUGAGAAUCUUGGUUUUCCAUAAGGUAAGAGAAAAUAAAUACAGAAUAUAAAAGAUAAGAAAAGAUAAAAGUAUAGAUACAAGCUAGUAGUAAGACUAAAGGUUAUCUCAGCAAACCGUCUUUCUCCCCGGCAACGGCGCCAGAAAUGCUUGUUGAUAUUUAGGAACGCAAUAAGGAAUUGAUCCGCAAGCGCACGGAUAUCGGUGAGCAUUUCACCCGAGAGGUUAUCCAGAGUAACGUAUUUAUUUUUUUACCACUAGGAGAAAGAGUGCAUCUGACUAACCUGGUCUAUUACUACUAACCCUUUAGGCAACAAAGAAUAUUUCUCGAUGUGAGUGAUAAAUAGAGAAGACUACAACCGUAAUCUCCUUCUAACCUUGGUAAGGAUGAUUUACUGUUCUAUUGGGGAGGCUAACGGAAUCUAGACAGCACAAAGGAUGUUCAACCUGUAGACACCACAAAGGAUGUUCAACCUGCACCUAUAAACCCUAUCCUUCAUGCUAACGAGAUAUGGUCUGCAAAGGUAACUCGAAAAUGUCACGUUCCUCGCUACUACCAUGGUCUAGCUAGUCAGGGAAUAUCUAUGAGUAUCCUAGCCCAAACACCACGUCUACGCUAGAGAUGAUUACUCUAAACUCUACGCAAAGAGAUUAAAGUAAACUCAUAAACCAAAGAACAAUAAAACAAGAACUUACUAGAAUUUAGAAGUUAAAAUACUGAAGAAUGCUAGGAGGAAGCUUCGGGUUAGGAGAACUUGAUCCCGCAGGUACAAGCUCGGAGUAGACACCGACAGGCCGGGCUUUCUCCGAUCUACACCUCCACUCUAUCUCUCUCAAUCUAGUAGAAACUAGAAGAUCUAUUUCUACUCACAUUGGUUGCUAAGCCUAAAAAGAAAUUUUAUUUAGAGAAGAGGUUUUCCUUCUGUUGGGUAUUCUUAACAUCAUUACCAAAAGUAGACUAAGUUCUCUAAAUCUAGUAAUGGUGCCAAAAAUACCAAACCUAUCCCUCAUACCACUUAAGCCAAGUUGUCAUCCCCAGCAUGACAUGAGAGACGCGGUAUUGAAAUAUGCAAUUGCUCUUCUAAAUAAAUAAUGAAUGGGAUCUGCAAGCGCACAGAUUAAUACCGAUGUAGCAUUUUAACCGGGAAGUAUUCCAGGUAUCGUUAUUUAUAUUUUUACCAAUGGGAAGGGAUUAACAAUCAUCAAUAUUGGUUACAGAAUAGAAUAUGAGAUUGAGUAUCUAUCAUUGCAUGUAUAAUUGAGAACAUUUAUCUAACUCUUCAUACAGGGAUAAGUGUCACAUAAAAGAUAUAUGAAAUAAUGAAUAGUGACAAGGAUAAUUAAUCUGAUCAGCCACAUAUAAAUAUGAUAAGCACCUCAAUUAGAUACUCUAGAAAGUCAUUUGCUUGGUAUUAGAACGAACUACAAGAAUAUUUCCUAAGUUAUUCUCAACUAUAUAGUCUAGCAUUAUCAUAAUUAGUGCAAGAAUACUUAGCAAUCGUUGUGAGACAAGACUACACCCAUGCAUAGUGAUAUUAGCAAGGUAAAUGAGAAACAUAGCAAUCACUCCCCUGUAAUAAUAUUGCUCUGCCAGCCCAAUACACGAGAGGGGGACUAUAUAACAAUCAAUGAAGCUGUCACUAUCACGAACUACCCCACGAUCUGGCAUAUUGGGUACAAUAGCAGAUAAAUAUGGUAUAAGCACCACGCCUACACAAUAUCUAUCAUUUACCCAUGGAUCCGAUGGAUAAACGCUAUACGAUCCUAAGCAUGUAUAUAGAUCCAAUCUAACUAAGCCAAGUACAUAACUAUGAUAAACUAAGAACAAUAUAAUCUUGAAUAUAAGAAAGUAGAGCAAAGUCAUAAGCAAUAUAUUGAAGUAGAACAAAGUCAUAUGCAUAGUAUUGAAGAACAAAGAUAAUUAGAAAGCAAUUAGAAGCACAAUUAGAGAAUUACCAAGAAUCCUCUUGACAGAUCUAGAAACCAAUCGAAGAUUGACUCCUUCUAGUUCUAAUCCUAUGUAGCUAUGCUAAUCUAGAUAUCUAAUUGAUGUGGUGACUCUAAUCUUGAUCAGAGGCUUCUUCUCCCUUGAGGAAUAAUGAAUUAGGGUUGAGUGGCUCUCUCCUCUAGGGUCCAGGGGGUCUGGUUUUAUAGUCCCUUCAAGUGAAUAUGGGCCGUUGGAUCAAACCGACAUAGAUUGAACGGUUAUCCUUGAUCCUUUAGGUCGGUGGAGAUCUCCCGAGAAACAGAUUCCUGAUUGGCCUCCAAGUCAGGGCGGGCGCCCAGGGCAGGAGGGCGGGCGCCCUGCCUCUGGCCCCGUUCGGCCUCCGCUUCCUUCCCGUGGCUUCUGGAGUCUUCUAGAUGUAAGAUAAUUGCGCGGCACGUUGAUAUCUCUAUGUAAUCCCGACGUGUGGGUCUUUCUUCCGUAUUUCCUGAUAACCCCCUGCAGAAAUAGACAAACACCAAAACUCGUGGAAUUCUGUCAGAUAAAACCCUAAGUCUAGAUGUUGAUUUCAUUUGGAUCCUUUUCUUUGUUUAUUUGAUAAAUAAAUUUGAUACUUAAGGACAGUCAACAAAAUCCCCCAAGCUUACCUCUUGCUCGUCCCUGAGCAAAGAUAAUCUCCGCGAUGGAUUAGAAGUUGUUGCAAUAUCUUUAAAAAUUAACGGUACACAUGCUUUUUAAAUAAGAUCUUAUCUCUGAGUUAGAGUAAACUGUCAAGACUUAAAACUUACUUACUUUACCUUCACCAUGGGACUUGUAACCGUCACUUCUGUCUUGAGUAGUUAAAAGAUAGAAUAGUCUAGUCAAGUGCCAUGUCCCUUAUUCUUGAUCAGCUAUAGCUCUAGAGUUUUUGCAGAUUUUCAAAUAAAACUCAGAGAUUCCUUGUAUGAUUCUCUCAGAUCUCUCUUUUGUGGUAUUUCUGGAUCCUUACCAAGGCAGUGAUGGUAUAUGCCUUCUCUCAAGAUAUGUAGUAUUUGUGGUAUAAAGCAUAGUGACAUUGUCUUCUCUCUCACCCUACUCUAAUAAGGCUUUAAUAUCUGGAGCUCAUAGGUGGAAGAUAAAGUAUACAUACUUACAAGACAUUUAUUGUAUAGUCAAACCAUGGAUCCAAAGAAACAAAUCAAUAAGCCAAAUCAAGAUGUGCAUGUGUGGCGAAUGAAUGGUGUAUGGUGAUGAUGGUGAUAACAAUGGUGAAAGCCUAAUUCUACUUUUGCUCUUUUGAGGGGAUAUAUACCUUCCUUGCUUUUUGAAACUUUAUGAGGAGAAUGAGAUGCUCUUUUUUUUUCUCUCAGGUGGGUAUCUUGUACCCCUAAUUCUACUGUCGGACACUUGUCUAUUUUUACCUUUUGUCUCACUUUUUCUUUUCUUUCGAGGUUCCGGGCACUUGCCCCUUUUUAUUUCCUCGUAUCUCUUUUUUUUAGAGCACUCAUCUCUCGAGAUAAUAUAGCAAGUGGUAGUAACAAGAUAACUUGAGCAUUUAUUUCACAGGGAAAAAACAUAAAUGUUUUUGGCUAUUCUCUCUCGGAUUAGGAGUAGAAUAUUUUUGGUUGGUUCUGGAGAUGGAAUGGGUGGAUAUAUGUGGAUGGUACUUCCGGAGUAGAAGCAGCAUAUAUGAGUGAACGUGCAAGUGAAAUCUUGAUUUAACCACAUGACAAGCUCCUAAGGGUCUACACAGCUUGACCACACUCAAUGCUCAUAAGCAGUAAAUAAUAAAUGUGUAGCUCAAAGUCUGGCAAGCAUCUAUAUAUGGUUGUGGUAGGAAUUUAAACUCUCAUCAUACAGGAACUUAUCAUGCAACAUUUUAAAGAUUUUCAUAAAUAAAAUUCUCUAGAAUUCUAGCAUCUUUAGGAACAGAUAAACAGCAGCCCAACCUUCCCAUAUCAUAUCCGUUAACAACUUAGACUUCAGAUCAAGUUUUCAUCCCACAAGUUUAGGUCUAGAGCAAGCUUAAAUUAUAACAGUUAUAUCUAAACUUGAGAGAGAACUUCAAAUGUGCAAACUAGGUAGAGCAACUAUUCAUCAUAUCCAUGAUAAUGUUUUAUUUAGAUACAUAUUAGCAUAGCCACUUUAUUUAUUUAUUAAACACACUAAGCAAAAGAUAUAUAUAUAUAAGCACAAAAUCUUUAUUUGGUUUUUCAUAGUUAUAUAUAUUUAUAUUCUAAUAUAAUAUAAGUGUAAAGAUAGAUAGAAAUACUUAUCGGGAUAAAUGGGGGUGCUCUCCCCCAAGCUGAAUUUUGACGUAAUUUCUCUUGAUGUAACUAGCAGGUGGUAGAGGUGUAUUUGAAAGUCAGCAGCAUUCUGACAGUGAUUAGAAUGUCCUCCGUCUGCUAGUCUUCUUGAUUCUUAAAUUCUGUGGAGCUCAAAUAGACAACAAAGCUUGUGGAACUGAUUAAGUGUUAGCAUAAAUAUCUAGCCUUUAUCAUGUUGAGACUCCUUAAUAAAUAUUACUCCCUAUUUUUUAUAUUUUCAUUUUAUAAAGCAGAGAAGAAAUAUUUAUUUUGUUUUUAUGCCACAACAGUGAAUGUACUUAUGGGUUUUAUGCCACUCGUCUACUCACAUGGUGCUUACUGUUUUUUCACAUUAUUAUUAUUAUUUUUUUUAAGAUAGUAUGAACCUAAUUAACUAAGUAAACUAGUUGAAAUAAUUGAAAGGAAAAAGAUAACUACCAAGUUUACCUCUUGGCAAGGCGUUCGGUGUUUUUAAGUCCCCCGAACGGGACUCUCCGUUUUCUCAAUUGUCCAGGGAUUCGUUGGGUGGCGUAGUCGGUAUUUCCGGCAGCGCCUCCUCUUCAUGUAUAGUUAUCUUCACUUUCCAUACCUGACUCGGUGCUACGGUCUCCUCAGGAUAGUUCUGUUUAAACUCUACAUCUUCUGAUCUUACAACUUCUCCUUCAUAUUCUGCCCAUCCAUCCUUGAUGAUUUGCCUCCUCUGGUUUCGGUUGCGUCGUUUUCUGACCUGCUUAGAUUCUUCAACGAUAUAGUCAGGGUCAAUAAAAUAACGGCGUACCUUCUCUGAGGGGAAGUGCAUAUGGACUUCUCCAUUUCCAAUGUAGAUGAUUGCUUUAACGGUGCUGAGGAACGGUCUUCCAAGGAUGAUGGGUGGAUCGCAUUCGUCUUCUCCCAUGUCAAUAACUUGAAAGUCUGUGUAGACAAAAUGAUCGUCUAUUUUGACUGGGACAUCAAUUACUGUUCCUUUAACCUCUCAAAAUGUCUGAUCUGCCAUCUAGAGCUGAAUGUAUGUUGGUCUUAGGGGCAUGGUUCCGAACAAGAGCCGAUAGGUGACUGCGGCCAUUAUGUUGACGCCCGAUCCAGUGUCGCAAAACGUCUUGUAGAAGCUGUAUCCAUUUAUUGAGCAGUAGAUGCUUGGCAUUCUUGGGUCGUCCUUCUUGGUCAAAAAUGGUGACUUGAGUUGAUGAUCUUGGCCUCCAGAACUGCAGUGACCAUCUUAGCUGACUCGGUCCACACUUGCUUGUGUUGGGUAUUCUUAACAUCAUCACCAAAAGUAGACUAUUCUCUAAAUCUAGUAACGGUGCCGAAAAUGCCAAACCUAUCCCUCACACCACUUAAGCCAAGUUGUCAUCCCCAGCAUGAUAUAAGAGACGUGGUAUUGAAAUAUGCAAUUGCUCUUCUAAAUAAAUAAUGAAUGGAAUCUGCAAGCGCACAGAUUAAUACCGAUGCAGCAUUUUAACCGGGAAGUAUUCCAGGUAUCGUUAUUUAUAUUUUUUACCACUGGGAAGGGAUUAGCAAUCAUCAAUAUUGAUUACAGAAUAGAGUAUGAGAUUGAGCAUCUAUCAUUGCAUGUAUAGUUGAGAACAUUAUAUCUAACUCAUCAUACAGGGAUAAGUGUCACAUAAAAGAUAUAUGAAUUAAUGAAUAGUGACAAGGAUAACUAAUCUGAUCUAGCCACAUAAUAAAUAUGAUAAGCACCUCAAUUAGAUACUCUAGAAAGUCAUUAGCAUGGUAUUAGAACGAACAACAAGAAUAUUCCCUAAGUUAUUCUCAACUAUAUAGUCUAGCAUCAUCAUAGUUAGUGCAAGCAUACUUAGCAAUCAUUGCGAGACAAGACUACGCCCAUGCAUAGUGAUAUUAGCAAGGAAUAUGAGAAACAAAGCAAUCACUCCCUUGUAAUAAUGUUGCUCUACCAGCCCAAUACACGAGAGGAGGACUAUAUGAGAAUCAAUGAAGCUGUCACUAUCACGAACUACUCCACGAUCUGGCAUAUUGGGUACAAUGGCAGAUAAAUACGGUAUAAGCACCACGCCUACACAAUAUCUAUCAUUUACCCAUGGAUCCGAUGGAUAAACGAUAUACGAUCCUAAGCAUGUAUAUAGAUCCAAUCUAACUAAGCCAAGUACAUAACUAUGAUAAACAAAGAACAAUAUAAUCUUGAAUAUAAGCAAGUAGAGCAAAGUCAUAAGCAAUAUAUUGAAGUAGAACAAAGUCAUAUUCAUAAUAUUGAAGAACAAAGAUAAUUAGAAAGCAAUUAGAAGCACAAUUAGAGAAUUACCAAGAAUCCUCCUGACAGAUCCGGAAACCAAUCGAAGAUUGACUCCUUCUAGUUCUAAUUCUAUGUAGCUAUGCUAAUCUAGAUAUCUAAUUGAUGUGGUGGCUCUAAUCUUGAUCAGAGGCUUCUUCUCCCUUGAAGAACAAUGAAUUAGGGUUGAGAGGCUCCCUCCUCCAGGGGCCAGGGGGUCUGGUUUUAUAGUCCCUUCAAGUGAAUAUGGGCCGUUGGAUCAAACCGACAUAGAUUGAACGGUUAUCCUUGAUCCUUUAGGUCGGAGGAACGUCAUGUGCGAAAAGAGUCUCGAACCAAGUCUAGAGGGCGGCGGGCGCCCAGUGCCUGGCCCCGUUCGGCCUCCGCUUCCUUCCCGUGGCUUCUGGAGUCUUCUAGAUGGUAGAAAAUUGCGCGGUGCGUUAAUAUCUCUAUGUAAUCCCGACAUGUGGGCCUUUCUUCCUUAUUUCCUGAUAACCCCCUGCAGAAACAGAUAAACAACAAAACUCGUGGAAUUCUGUCAGAUCAAACCCUAAUUCUAGGUGUUGUUUGCAUAUUGGUCCUUUCUCUUGUUUAUUUGAUAAUUAAAAUUGAUACUUAAGAACCGUCAACAAAACCCACUUUUCCAUUUUACAAUUAUCUCUGUAAAUCUUUCAGCUGACAUAGUCUCAUCGGUAAUUCCAGCCGAUCGGCCUCUAGUUCCAUCGGCCUCAACUAGUGAGAGGCGAGAGAUAGCUCUGAAACUAGUAAGUUACCUGAUCUCUAUUUUUGUCAUUACCAGUACUUGAUCAUUAAAUAACUUAUUUUUAUCUUCCUUUUCAGGAACAGGAUUCUCCCGACAGCUUGUUUUCCUUCUCCAUCGAAAUCUCUGAGGAUGAAGGCGAGGAAGCAAGUUUGUCUCGAGCGGUUGGAAUCUCAUCGGCAGAGAUUAGAGCAAAGUUGGAAGAUUUGUCGGCCCUCCUACAUCAAGACACGACUCAAUUGGUUGAUGACUCCGGUCCGGCCAAGGCCCUGUUUAAGACUCUCAGAGGACAAAUUCCUGUCGAUGCCGAGGAGAUCCUCUUCAAGGCGGCCCACUUGGAGAGUCGACAGCUUUAGUAUCAAAAGGCUGUUCAGCGCCUUGCUGAUAGAGCUACUCACGCCCAGCUCUCAGAUGAAAUGAUGAAAGUAAAGCUCCUUGCCGAUGAAAAGCAUAAGAGCAUCGGCAUUCUGAAAUCCUCAGGAGACGUGCUGAAGCAAAAGAUCUCUGAUCUAUCGGCAAAGAGAGAAUCCUUCUUGCAAAACUCAAACAAGUGGAAGAAGCUCUGUCCCAAGCUCAAUAGGAAGAAAACCAGUUGCCUGAAGCAAUCAAGACCCUUGAAUAAGAACGAAACAUCCAAGCUCGCAAAGCACUGCAGAUGAAGAAGAAACUGCAGCCAGUGGAGGGUUCUGCCGAUGAAGACAUGAAGGAGAUAGAAGAAGCCGACCAGAUUCGUCUGCGCGCCAUAUCGACGAUCCAGGCCCUGCUGAGCAUAUAAAUUCUUCAUCGACGGCAUGUUCUGCUCUUUUCUUUUAAACACUCUUGAUUAUUUUCGUCUAGCCGAUAGGACUGUUAUCGGCACCUUUUCAAACAUUAAGUCCGGUUCCAGAUACACUUUAAUCCAGCCGAUAGGAAUGUUAUCAGCACUUAAACUUUCAUGCAUCAAACCAUAUGCUAGGAUAAUAUUUCUUUAAGUAUUUGCCAUUCAAUGCCCUGGGAAAUUCACUCCUUCGAGAGUUUCUAAAAUAUAGGCAUUGCCAGGAGCAGAUCGGUUUAUCCGAUAAGGACCCUCCCAAUUGGGAGACCAUUUCUCAAACUUUGAACUUUUAGUCCCGAUCGGUAAGAUUAGUUUCCAUACUAAGUCUCCAUCGGCAAACUCCUUAGCCUUUACUUUCUUAUCAUACCAUCUGGCAACUCUCUUUUUAUUUUCUUCCAUGCUUAUCAAAGCCCUCAGCCGAUGCCCUGCUAAAUCAUCCUAUUCGUCCGUCAUCAAAGUAGCAUAGUCAUCGGCAGUCAAUUGAUCUUGAAAAGAUAGUCGCCUAGAUCUAGUCUUAAUUUCCCAAGGUAGCACUGCAUCAUGCCAUACACCAACUGAUAAGGCAAAACUUUAGUUGACCCAUGACAAGCCAUCCGAUAUGACCACAAAGCUUCAUUCAACAAUGUAUGCAACCUCCUAGGACUCUCUUCAAUCUUCCGUUUAAUAAGUUUGAUGAUUCCUUUGUUAGACGCUUCGGCCUGCCCAUUAGCUUGAGCAUAAUAAGGAGAAGAAUUCAAUACCUUAAUUCCCAUACCGAUUGCAAAUUCAUCAAACUCGCCCGAUGUGAACAUAGUACCCUGAUCGGUAGUAAUCGUUUGAGGAAUACCAAAUCGGUAAAUAAUAUGCUCCUUUACAAAAUCAAUCAUAUUGGCCGAUGUGACUUUCUUCAAAGGAAUUGCUUCAACCCACUUGGUGAAAUAAUCAGUAGCAACCAAGAUGAACUUGUGCCCUUUCCUAAAAGGUGGAUAAAUCUGGCCGAUCAAAUCAAUAGCCCAUCCUCGGAACGGCCAAGGUUUAAUAAUGGGAUUCAUGGCCGAUGCGGGUGCUCUUUGAAUAUUGCCGAAUUUCUGGCACCCUUGACAUCCCUUGAAAUAUUUAAAACAAUCUUCAAUUAUGGUUGGCCAAUAAUACCCAUUCCUCCUAAUCAUCCAUUUCAUCUUAAAAGCCGACUGAUAUGCUCCACACACUCCUUCAUGGAUCUCCCCCAUCAAACUUUUAGCUUCAUCAUCACCUAAGCAUUUGAGAAGAACUCCAUCGAUUGUUCGAUAAUAUAAUUCAUCCUCAAGGAGCACAUAUUUGGUGGCUUGAAACCGAAUACGUCUCUCAACCUUCUUAGAUGGAUCCUUUAAAUAAUCAAUGAUUUAUUUUCUCCAAUGAUCGGCACCGAUUGCCGAUAUUGUAUUUCAUAUGGGCUGAUAUCCCGAGGCAUGCUGAGCCAACCGAUUAGCUUCCUCAUUAUGUAAUCGAGAAACAUGCUGUAAUCGGAAAUCUUUGAAUUCCUUUAACAGUUGUAUACUCUUUUCGUAAUAAGGUAUCAGGACUUCACUUCAGCAUUCAUAGCUUCCAGCCAAUUGAUUUAUAACCAGCAUAGAAUCCUCGAAGACUUCAAUAGCAUCAGCAUGAACUUCUCUUAACAACUCUAACCCCUUGAUUAAAGCUUGAUAUUCGGCUUGAUUAUUCGUUGACGUAGCAACAAUCGGCAAAGAGAACUCAUACUUCCUUCUCUUAGGGGAAAUUAACACUAUGUCGAUUCCUGCCCCCCGGUCACACGUAGAUCCAUCAAAGAAGAGCGUCCAAGGUACGAUCUCCAAAGUAUCCACUGUACCCCGAUGUUGAGUCACAAAAUCAGCCCUGAUCUGUCCCAUAACAGCCUUAGCCGAUUCGUACCGCAGAUCAAAUUCCGACAGUGCCAAAAUCCAUUUGCCGAUCCGACCACUCAUAAUCGGCAUAGACAGCAUAUAUCGGACUACAUCAUCUUUGCAUACAACAGUGCAUUCGGCCGAUAGUAAAUAGUGCCUCAACUUAAUGCAGGAGAAAUAUAGGCAUAAACAUAAUUUUUCAAUAGCCGAAUAUCUGGUUUCAGCAUCGAUCAAUCAUCUGCUUAAAUAGUAAAUCACUCGUUCCUUCCCUUCAAAUUCUUGAAUCAAAGCCGAACCUAUGACCAUCCCAUCGGUAGAUAAAUAUAAUCUGAAGGGCUUUCCUUGCUGAGGUGGAAUUAAAACUGGAGGAUUUACCAAGUAAUUCUUGAUUUCAUCUAAAGCCAGCUAUUGCUCUUUUCCCCAUAUGAACUCUUGAUCGGCUUUUAAUUUAAGCAAAGGACUGAAAGCACGAAUUUUACCAGAUAAAUUAGAUAUAAAUCGCAUGAUAAAAUUUACCUUGCCGAUCAAGGAUUGUAGCUCAGUUUUGUUAGUAGGGGCAACAAUUUUGUUGAUAGCAUCAAUAGAUUGUCUACUAAUUUCAAUUCCUCUCUGAUGCACCUUGAAACCAAGAAACUGCCCUGCCGAUACACCAAAUGCACACUUAUUGGGAUUCAUCUUUAAACCAUGUUUCCUUGUGCAUUCCAACACCUUUCGCAAGUUGGCAAGAUGCUUUGUGAAAUCUCCAGACUUAACCACCACAUCAUCAAUAUAAAUUUCCACCAGCUUGCUGAUGAACUCAUGGAAGAUAAAAUUCAUAGCCCUCUGAUAGGUAGCACCAGCAUUUUUCAAACCAAAGGUCAUGACUAUCCAUUCAUAUAACCCAACAUGACUAGGACAUCUAAAUGCAGUCUUUGGAAUAUCUUCCUCAGCCAUGAAUAUUUGAUUAUAUCCUGCAUUGCCAUCCAUGAAGCUAAUAAUCCGAUGCCCAGCCGCAUCAUCAACCAAUAAAUCGGCAACCGGCAUCGGGUAACCAUCCAUCAGCGUAGCUUUGUUAAGAUUCCUGAAAUCAAUGCAAACUCGAAGCUUCCCAUUUUUCUUGUACACUGGGACAACAUUAGAAAUCCACUCGACGUACCGACACUGCCGAAUAAAUUUAGCUUCGAUAAGUUUGGUUAUUUCGGCCUUAAUAUCAGGAAGAAUAUUAGGAUUGCAUCGGCGAGCUGGCUCUUGAUGUGGCCGAAAUCCAAACUUGAUAGGCAACCGAUGUCCAACAAUCGAUCGGUCUAAACCAGGAAUCUCAGUAUAAUCCCAAGCAAAGCAAUCUUUGUAUUCCUUUAACAAAUCGGUUAACUGCUGCUUACACUUAGAAUUCAACUUAGCACUAAUAAAAGUAGGUCUAGGUUUAUCACCACUAUCUAUAUCUACCUCUACUAAAUCAUCGGCCGAUGUGAACCCCUGGCCUAGCUUUCCAUCAUCGGCGAACCUAUCCAUUAAAACUCUUCAUCAGAACCGACUGCUUGGAUCGGUGGAAUUUCAUAAUCGGCAACUUUGAGGAAAUCCUUCUCCCAAACACCUGGUUCUUUCAUAAGUAUCUGCCUCUGCCGAUGCAAUAACAUAAGAAGAAUCUCCCGAGACAAUCUCAAUCUUGUCACCUACCCACUGAACCAAGCAUUGGUACAUUGUGGAUGGGAUGAAACAAUGGGCAUGAAUCCAAUCUCUCCCUAGGAGCAAAUUAUAAGCACCUUUCCCACUGAUCACGAAGAAAGUCGUCGGCAAGGUUUUGCUGCCGAUGACCAACUCGACGCAUAUUGCCUCUUUAACCGGAGACACAUUUCCUUCAAAGUCCUUUAGCAACAUAUCGGUCUUGGUCAAAUCUUGAUCUCCGUUCCCAAGCUUCCGAUAGACUGCAUAAGGCAUAAUGUUGAUAGCAGCCCCACCGUCAACAAGUAUCUUGGUCAUCGGCUGCCCGUCAACCCUUCCUUUGACAAACAAAGCUUUACAGUGCUGCCUUUCAUCGUCAGUAGGCUUUUCAAAGAUAGCUGUCAUUGGAUCCAAAGCCAACUGAGCUAUCUGGUCAGAAAAAUCCAGCCCCUCAUCAUCACUGGAUGGCGCAAGGAACUCCAUCGGCAACAUAAAUACCAUGUUGACAUCUGCCGAUGGCCUUUCCCCUUAGGAUCCGGUUGCUGCUGAUCUCCAGACUUGCCAGAAUUCUCACCUUUGUUUAGCUCUUCUCGUCUUUCACGCUGCAGCCGCCUCUUCUGUGUCCUAGUCAACCCCUCUGGACAUCAUGGAGGAAGUUGUGGCUGCCUUACCGAUGGGCGACGAUUCUCCCUUGGCUCCGCUCGAUACGUAUUGGCAUCCCCUGAAACUGCCGAUCAUGAACUGAAGCUCUCCCCCAGAUCGGCCCAUUAAAUCGGCGGUCAUUGUUCUGAUACUGCCGAUUUGAUCUGUCAUAUCGAUCAUAACCAUUGCAUUCAGGGCAGUCUCUGACGGUAGGAAGCUUAAUAUUUUGCUCCGAACAAUGGAUAAAGAACGGACAAUUCCAAUGAUCCCUAUGCCGAUUCCACUCCUGUCGGCGUCUUUCUUCUUCCCGACGAUAAUCCUCCUGCUGGUGCCGAUACCGAUCUUCAUGUUGCUGCCGAGUCUCCCGAGGCCUUCUAUGAGUUAUCACGAUACCAGAUCGGGGAGGCCUCCCUAAGUUAGUUUCCUCUUGGAUCAAACCUUUUCCUUUAGCAUCGACAGCAGUAAUCAGAUGCUGAGGAUCCACCGAUGCAGUCCUUUCAGCUGCUUCUGACGUCAAGACCUUGGUCUUUCCCUUAGCAUCCAACAUAUUUGUCGGGAAAGGAUGUUGGUCAAUUUUCAUCGGCUUCUGCGCUUUAGAACUAUCAAACUUGAUUCUCCCAUAUUCUAUAGCCGAUUGCAGCUGUUGCCUGGAAACCUUGCAUUCAUUGGUGCUGUGAGAAGUCGCAUUGUGCCAUUUGCAAUAUUUCAUCUUCUUCAACUCCUCAGCGGAUGGAAUUACAUGAUUGGGUGAUAAUUUGAUCUGGCCUUCCUGAAGUAGAAAGUCAAAUAUCCUAUCGGCUUUGGUGAUAUCAAAUGAAAACUUCUCUGGCUCUUUAUGCCCAAAAGGGCAAGACAUCGGCUUUUUGUUCUUCACCCACUCUACUAAGCCAAUGACUGGCUCUUCAUCAGAAUCUGAGCUUGCUGCCUCAUCAACAAAUGAUACCUUUUUGUUCCAUGCCCUCUUGAGUUCAAAAGGCUUAAUAUCUUGGUCAGAAAUCCUUUGCACCAAGUGACUCAAACUUUUGAACUCUUGAGAAGCGUACUUGUCUCUGAUAUGUGGCAACAGCCCCUGAAAAGCCAAAUCGGCAAGCUACCGAUCAUCUAGAACCAGGCUAUGACAUUUAUUCUUGACUUCCCGCAGCCUCUGCACAAAGCUUUCAACCGAUUCAUCAUUGCGCUGCUUCAUCAUGACUAAAUCGGUAAUUUUCUUCUCAUGAACUCCAAAGAAGAAGUACUUGUGGAAUUGAUUCUCUAGAUCGGCCCAAGUGAUCACUGAGUUGGGAGGUAGCGAGAUAAACCAGGUAAAAGCCGAUCCAGACAAAGAUGAUGAAAACAGACGAACCCUCAAUUCAUCGUGUUAGCAGCUUCCCCACAUUGGAUGAUGAACCUAUUGACAUGCUCCAUAGUCGAUGUAUCAUCCUAUCCAGAAAACUUAGUGAAAUCUGGUACCUUAUACCGAUUUGGAAGUGGAAUCAAAUCAUAUGAGGGAGGAUACGGUGUCUGAUAAGAGUAAGUGUUGACUUUAGGUUUUAUUCCAAAUGGGUCUCUCAUUACUUCAGCUAUCUCAUCGGCCCAAUAAGCAUCGGCAUCUUGCCGAUGAGGCGGUUGUGGAUCUGGCACCUGCAGAUAUGCUUCCACGUGUCUCUGGGGUGCACGAUCUACAUGGAACAUAGGGUUGAUCAUCCGACCACCAAUCUGUUGACCGAGAUUCAACGGCUGGUUAACCAAUCCUUGAUUCUGAAAACCAGGUUGGACUUGUCCUUGUUGAAACCCUGUAGCCUGAUGAUUCUGUUGAGAUAUUUGUGGGAAGACAAACUGUCCAUUCCAUCCACUGUUAGUAUUCAUCGGCAUAAGCCCUGCCGAUGUCUGAUAAUUGGGCAUCAUCAUCGAAUUGACAUACCCUGGCUGUGUCAUAAACCUCUGCUGCAUCGGCAUUGAAUCUGACGAUGCGUUAGGCAUCUGGAAUGUUGGAGCUUGAGAAUUCCCAGUGUAAGGUCUUGCAGUAGUAGUUGUAGUAUACUGGGGACUCUGAUUCUUCGGCGGAUUUGGAGGUGCCAAUGCCAUAGGAGCCUUGCCUCUCGUGUUAGCCACUUGAGAUGUUCUAGGAGUUUUCAACAUCAUCUCUGGAGGCAUACCAUAACCCCACCAGUUGGGAGGAACUGAUCCCGACAUUGCCGAUGCCAAUAGAUCUGUAGCGAGCUUGAUCUGCCCUUCGGAUGUUGAUGGAUUGGUCUUCAUCGGCGUAGAUUGCACAUAAGUGAGUCUUGACGUGCUUGGGGAGGCAGUAGUUGCCAUGCCCACAGCGGCCGUAGCAGCCGAUGGAGCUGUGACCACUGGUGAUCCUAGCUGAUGAUAGACAGGGCCCACAUAAUUUGGAGGCAAUUGUCCUUCCUUAAAUGUUGUAGCCACAUCGUUGAAAACUGUGUUGGACAGCACACCAGCUUGAUUGAUCAAGGCACGGUUAAUAGCAUUAUCAACCAUGUCUUGAAGUUUACUAGGAUUGGCUUCAAAAGUAACCUGCCGAGGCGCCGCCAGUGCUUCUUUCUAGAUUACUUCGCCACUCCUGUUGAUGCUGAAGGAUUUCAAUCAUUGCUGCUUGUAGUCCUCCAUGGCUUUUGCAAAAGCUUGCUUUUGCUCAUCUUUGAGAUUGGCUUCUGUCACCGGGAUGACGUUCUCCGGAUCGAACUCGGUAUUGGCCAUGUCGAUCUUGAUCUUGAAUCUUGUAUCUGGUCCCACCGGGCAUGCCAAAAGAUGUGUUGGUGCAAAAGCUGAUCUUCAAACACAAAGGGCUAAUACCCAAUUUAAACGUUAAGGCGUGCCAGCCGAUUUGACCUUACUAUCGGCAAAGGUGAUAACUCGAACACUUUGGUCCCAACAACAGCGAUGCGCCCGGAUGUCACAGCCAAGAGGUGCUCACACAGAACUUGAGAAUGCGCCGAGCUUAAGUCGACGAAUUCCUAAGAACUCGUAGUAAAAAGGAAAAUAUGAUAAAGUCGUCGAAAAAGUAGAUGCUGGAAUAAGAGUAAAAACUUGUGUUUGAUUGAUUGAUAGAUUGUUCAUUACAAGGCCCUAGGGUCUACAUUUAUACCCUACUUAAAGAGCUACAAUCAGACAUGACUAGGACUCAAAUUCCAAAUCAAAUGGAAUCUGUAUACAAAACAAAUUUAAAUAACUAAGGAAAACAUAAAACUAUCCCCUUGUAAUCGACCGGGACACCGCCACAGAUCAAUCGGCAACCUCCACGCUUUCCUUCAGAAUCAUCGGCAGACCUCCUGUCAUGGCAAUCGGCAAACACUGAUACCGAUCAUCGGCACGAACAUGUCACCACCUCUGGACCUGGUCACAUUCAACUGUCUCUUCAUCGGCAACCACCUUCAUCGGCAACUUCCCUGCAGACUAGUUACCGUUGCUCCAUCUGCCGAUCUAUACUUUACCGAUCCUCGGGUACGUGUCUAAAAACGGUGUCAACACCAUCUAAGAAACAGAAGAACGAAUGGUUCGCUAAUCGCUAUAGCAUCUCAUCUAUGAAAGGUAAAGGAAAAUGAUCCUUUCUCGUGGCUUUGUUUAGUUUCCUAUAGUCUAUGCACAUCCGCCACCCUGUGACAGUGCGUUGCGGAAUUAGCUCGUUCUUUUCAUUCGUAAUGACAGUCAUGCCUCCGUUUUUAGGCAAAACUUGAACUGGGCUUACCCACUCACUGUGCGACACAGGAUGUAUAAUCCCUACAUGCAGCAACUUUAUAACUUCCUUUUUAACUACCUCUCUCAUCGUGUUGUUAAGUCUACGUUGGGGCUCUCGAGAAGGUGAAACAGAAGGAUAUGUCGGAAUACGAUGGGUACAAAUCAUAGGACUGAUUCCUAUAAGAUCUUGGAGUGAGUAGCCAAAAACUGAGUGAUGUUUUUCAAGAACGGUCAUCAAUCGCAGAGUUUGCUCCUAAGUGAGUUUAUCACUAAUGAUUACAGGAAACUCUGGAUUAUUGUUUAGGAAAGCAUAGAUAAGACCGGGUGGUAAAGUUUUAAGCUCUAUGGGAGGUCUAGGCAUUUCUGCAAACUCGUCUAAGGGUUCAGGUUCAGAUGGUUCAGCCUCUUCUUCUGUGAAGAAAGGAGCUUCGUCUUCUAAGUCUCGUUCAUCUAAAAGCUCUAGAGAUGCAGCCUUUACCUCCUCCAUAGGAUCAGGCAAAAGAUAAGACUCGGCCAUAUUAUUUAAGGAAUGUGAAAUUAUUAUGUGAAAUUUAAAAGUUUUUCCAAAAGAAAUAUGUAGCUUUCCAGUAUGACCUUCAUAAAGGAGUCUUCUAAAAGGUUGUCCUAUCAACAGGUCGAAGUCCCAUGUAUCAAAGAUAUAGAAGUUCAAAUGAACCAUGGAGCCUUCUCCUAUAAUGGGUAGGACAUUAAUAAUUCCAAGACUGGGGACUAAUCAUCCCGAAGAUUCCUUUAUGACCUUUGUUGUGGGGGUUAAAACCAAAUUUUUAAAUAAUUUAAGUGCAAAAGAUUCAGACAUGAUGUUGAUCCCCACAAUAGGAUUAUAGAGAGCAUCAAAUCGACUUACUUUUGAUUAUACCAUUGUCUAGCUUCUCCCCUUAAAGAAAAAGGAAAAAGCUUCCAACGUAAAGUUUUAUCAGAAAUGCCUUCAAUGCGAAGACAAUCACAUGUUUGUUCAAAAUCUCUAAUAUGAAGGUAAGGGUUUUCGUCUUCCUUUCCUGAAAAAGAUAGGUUUUGAAUCAUGGCAAUCAACCUAGAACUUAACCUAUAGUGGGAUGUUUGGAUAGGCUGUGAUGACUCCCAUGGUGAAAGGUCAGUUUCCGAAGGUGUUGCAAAUUGGUAGAUUGAUUUAGAAUCUUGGUUUUCCAUAAGGUAAGAGUAAAGAAAAUAAAUAAAGAAUAUAAAAGAUAAGAAAAGAUAAGAGUAUAAAUACAAGCUAGUAGUAAGACUGAGGGUUAUCUCAGCAAACCGUCUUUCUCCCCGGCAACGGCGCCAGAAAUGCUUGUUGAUAUUUGGGAACGCAAUAAGGAAUUGAUCCGCAAGCGUACGGAUAUCGGUGAGCACUUCACCCGAGAGGUUAUCCAGAGUAUCUGUUGACGGUCCUUAAAGCUUACAUUUAACCGUCAACUAAUCAUAGAAAAGGAUCCAAAUGCAGCCAACACCUAGACUUAGAGUUUUAUCUGACAGAAUACCACGAGUUUUGGUGUUUGUCUAUUUCUGUAGGGGGUUAUCAGGAAAUACGGAAGAAAGGCCCACACGUCGGGUUUACAUAGAGAUAUUAACGUGCCUCACAAUUUUCUAUCAUCUAGAAGACUCCAGAAGCUACGGGACCGAAGCGGAGGCCGAGAGGACUCAGGGAAAGGGCGCCCGCCCUCCUCUCCUAGGCGCCCACCCUCACAUAGAGUCCAAUCAGGACUCUCUUUUGGGAUAUUCCUCCACCGACCUAAAGGAUCAAGGAUAACCGUUCAAUCAAUGUCGGUUUGAUCCAACGGCCCAGAUUCACUUGAAGAGACUAUAAAACCAGACCCCCCUGGCCCCUGGAGAUCAUACCACUUCUACAGAAUCAAAGCUAGGGUUUCAAUUCUUCAUCCAAGUAGAGAGGAUCCCUCUAGUUCUUCUAGUUCUACAUCUAGUUCAUCUAGAUCUAGUUCUAGUUCAUCUAGUUCUAGUUCUAGUUCCUCUAGUUCUAGUUCUAGUUAGUUCUAGUUGUAAUCUAGAAAAUAGGGAGACAGAAGAGGAGAGCGGAGGAGGAGCCGGAUCUGUCAGAUCUUCCUCAACAUUGUACUUAUGCAGCAACUGGUUCGUUCUUCAUGGUUCUCUAGGUUCUUCAAUUCAUAAUUUCUGAGUUCUUUAAUUACUUUUAUUUACAUUCAAGUUAUUUAUUGGAUUCCCGCUUGCAUCAAGUGCUCUAGUCUUUAUAACGCUAGAGUAGUAAUUAAUAGAUUAGACGUGGUGUUUAGUCUUGCAAUUACCUGGAAUUGCACCCAAUCCUGCGGAUUGUUGUGGUAGCCUUAGUGUAGUGACAGCCCUAACGGUCGACGUAUUCCACCUCGUUCGGAUCGGUGUUUGUAGGACCAUAGUCAGACCUUCCUAGCACCCUUCUCAUCUCUUUCUGUGGUUAGUGCUCUGAUGUCCCGAUAUAAAUAAUCUUUGAAGUAAUUCUUGAUUCUUAGAUCGACUAGAGAACUCUUAGGAAACUUCCUCUCUUCCCACCGAAAACAAUUAUAUAGUUAUCCUUGGGCGAUCUUGGAACUUAAUUAGUACACUCACGUUCUCUGUGGAAAAUCGAUACUCUGGAAUACUCCCGGGUGAAAGCUACAUCGGUAUCCGUGCGCUUGCGGAUUUUUCUGUUUGCGUUUAAAAUACCCAACAAGCUUUCUGGCGCCGUUGCCGGGGAACGGUAGCUGUGCUAGUUUCGAACCAAGUCGUCCGUGUAUCCUUUUUCUUUUCCUUUUUUACCACACUCACCUUACCAUUUUCACCACACCACAUGGAUUUCACUCUAAGCAUUAAUGAGCAUGGAAUUUAUUUCAUAGCCACUUCAUUUACUCCUUGCUCAUAUGCAACAUCUUCACAAUCCAUUGGUUUUUCCAACAUCACCACAUUCGAGAUCUCCAACCCCCUCAUCCUUUCUAUUUAUAAAAACUUUAAAAGGGCGGUUGUCGAUGCAUAUGUCUAUAAUAAAUUUUGCAGAUCUCGUUGAGUUGAUCUUGAUAUAGGUCAGCGUUGGAGGGGAAACCACUUCGCCGACAUAAAUUGAUGGUUUCCCAAGGACAAGCUUAGUGUCCUAAAACAAGCACUGAUCAGAUUGUAACAUGAGCUUUUAAUUAUUUGCAACAUUAACUUGUGUAUUGAGCAUAUAAGGAUAAUUGUAAAAACAAAUUCCUGCGGGUAUUCUUGUCACUAACCUUUCCAGGAUUGGAGCAAGAAGAUCGGAUGAAUGACAAGCACGAGGUAUGUCCAACCAAUCAUCAUACAACAUUGAAUUAAAUUCAUCCAAACUUGAAUUUUGCAAAAUUCAAGCUUACUUUACAUAAAAACAUGAUUUGCCAUGUUGCUAUGUUGGUUGUCCCUACCUUUGAGACAUGCUCAAUUUGUUAAAUACUAAUCACACUACUUCAUCUCCACUUGAGUAGAUCUCUAUAAAUGCUCUCAUGCUACCUUUAUUUGCUUUAGUAUAUGUCUAGGUUUGGAGUAGUUUCAUUUAUCUCUUAAUUAAGCAUGGUGCUUAGUUUAGGAAUGAUGAUCUUACUUCCAAGGGAUUUUAAAUUAAGCAUGAUGCUUAGGUUAAAAUGCCCCCUAAAUCAAAUUAGACAUGGUGUCUAGGUUGAUCUUUGAGCCGAUAGUAUGCUACAGUAGACAUUGGAUAUUUUGUUGGACUAACCCCUGCAGGAAAACUUUCAAUAUCGACCUGGGAAGUCCUGAGAUAAACUCACAUUGGAGACAAAGAGAGAGACACAUGAAGUUUAACAAUUUACACAAGGAAGGCAUAGCUCACAAGAUAUGAUCCAUGGAGGGUGCCACAAACACGAUGCAUAGCCGCUAAGAAAGGAAAGCUUCCACAAGGUGAUACUGUACCAUCACUCUUCAAGUAAGGAAACAUCUUAAGGUACUUGACUAUCACUUUUAUAAGCUUCUCCUUGGUUCUGGCGUUCACAUGAAUAAAAGAGACAAACAUGUAUGAUUUACAACUCUAGAUUAACCAACCCAAUCGAUUCAAUAUGUUUAGUCCUUCCACCUUUGUGAUCCCACACUCCUAACCAUAUGAGCUAAAAUGCUGCACACUCAAUCUUUGGAAGAUAUAUAUAAAAAAAACAUAAGUAUAGAUAGAUUACCUUUCCAUUAGGUUGAGCGAUCUGAUCUGACAAAUGUUUUAAAUGCUACACUCAUGAUCUUAUUCAACUUUGUCUUGCUCACUGUGCUUAAGGAUAGAGAAGAAUAAAUACACUUUUGGUUCUGUUGGUGUUUCCCACCAACAGGGCCCAUGCACUUGAUCUCUGCCUUGUCUCUAUGAGCAGGUACGCUUCGAGCAAAAUAUGAAGGACUUUUACAACUCCCAGACUCCACCAAGUGAAGAACCUAGAUCUACGAGCACAAACACACUAGAGAUACGAGACACUUAGGCAAUCACUGCCCUGGGAUGCUUGAGGAUGUAACUACUGGAGUAACCCUAUUGUGGAAGUAAUUACUGACCUUCUGCCGGUCAGAGUGGCAAUCCAGGAUCCCGAUCUCCAUCGGCAUGGUGGACUUCCCAGAAGCACUCUGCGACUUUGGCUCCAGCGUCAACAUUAUACCCAGGGGAGGCCAUUCCUGAACACCUCAGGAGCUAUCAUCUACGCUAGUGCUGCCAAGAUCAGUUUCUACAUUAAGGGAAGGAAGGAGAUGUUUUCCUUCAAGAACAAGACUACACAAGUCUCAGAGCAAUCCCGACAUGAACCAAGGAAGAGGACCAAAAGGAGGGACAAGAACAAGCAAAUGUGGACCAAGUCAGCUAAGAUGGUCACUGCAGUUCAAGGAGGUCAAGAUCGUCGAUUUAAGUCACCGUUCCUAACCAAAAAGGAUGACCCAGUCACCUAUCAGCUCCUAUUCGGAACCAUGCCCCUAAAACCGACAUACAUUCAGCUCCAGAUCGGAGAAGACGAGUACGAUCCACCCAUCAUCCUUGGAAGACCGUUCCUCCGCACCAUUAAAGCAAUCAUCUACAUUGGAACCGGAGAAGUCCACAUGAACUUCCCCUCUGAGAAGGUACGCCGCUAUUUUACUGACCCUAACUAUAUAGUUGAAGACUCUAAGCAGGUCAGGACAAGAAGGAGAUGACGCAACCGCAACCAGAGAAGGCAAAAUCAUCAAGGACGGAUAUGUAGACUAUGAAGGAGAAGUUGUAAGGUCUGAAGACAUACAACUUGAACAGAACUGUCCUGAGGAGACCGUAGCACCGAGUCAGGUGUAUAGAGAGAGGAUAGUUAUACACGAAGAGCAGGCAUCGCCGGAACCACCGACUACGCAAUCCAGCGAAUCCCAGGACGACUGAGAAAACGGAGAGUCCCGUUCGGAGGACUUAAAAAAACACCGAACGCCUUGCCAAGAGCUUUGUUGUCUAUUUGAGCUCCAUAGAAUUCAAGGAUCAAAGAAGACUAGUAGACGGAGGACAUCCUAAUCACUGUAAGGGUGCUGCCGACAUUCAAAUACACCUCCGCCACCUGCUAGCUACAUCAGAAGAAAUUGCAUCAAAUCCAGCUUGGGGGAGAGCACCCCCAUUUACCUAGCUAAGUAUUCUACUCACGUUUAUACUCUGCUCUAAUAAUAAAAAGAUGCAUAAUCAUAUAAACCCAAAUAAAGAUUUUGUGCUUAUAUCUAUAUCUUUGCUUAGUUUCCUAAAUAAAUAAAUAAAUAAAGUUUGCUAUGAACCCUUAUGAUAAGCUCUCACAUGGAAAUGAUGAAUAGUUGCUCUGCCAUGACUAGUUCUCAAAAUUGAAAUCUCUCUUAAGUUUAGGCAUGACUGUUAUUAAUUAAGAUUUGCUCUAAACCUAAACUUGUGGAAAGAGUACUUGAUCUAAAGUCUAAGUUGUUAACGGAUACGAUAUGGGAAGGUUGAGCUGCUGUUUAUCUGUUCCUAGAGAUGCUACAAUUCUGGAGAAUUUUAUCUUUGAAAAUCUUUAAAUGUUGCAUGAUGAGUUCCUGUAUGAUGAGAGUUUAAAUUCCUACCACAGCCAUAUAUACAUGCUUGCUAGACUUUGAGCCACACAUUUACUUUUUACUGCUUAUGAGCAUUGAGUGUGGUCAAGCUGUGUAGACCCUUAGGAGCUUGUCAUGUGGUUAAAUCAAGAUUCACUUGCAUGUUCACUCACACAUGUUGCUUCUACUCCAGAAGUACGCAUCCACAUAUAUCCACCCAUUUCCAUCUCCAGAACCACCCAAAAAAUAUUCUACUUCUAAUCCGGGAGAGAAUAGCCAAAAACAUUUAUGUUUUCCCCUGUGAAAUAAAUGCUCAAGUUAUCUUGGUUACUGCCACUUGCUACAUUAUUUUAGGAGAUGAGUGCUCUAAAAAAAGAGAAAAAAAAGAGAGAAUACGAAGAAAUAAAAAGGGGCAAGUGCCCGGAACCUCGAAAGAAAAGAAAAAGUGAGACGAGAGGUAAAAAUGGACAAGUGUCCGACAGUAGAAUUAGGGGUACAAGAUACCGACCUGAGAUAAAAGAAAAAGAAAAUAUAGAGCAUCUCAUUCUCCUCAAAAAGUUUCAAAAGAGCAAGAAAGGUAUGUAUCCCCUCAAAAGAGCAUAAGUAGAAUUAGACUUUCACCAUUGUUAUCACCAUCAUUACCAUGCAUCAUUCAUUCGCCACACAUGCACAUCUUGAUUUGACUUAUUGACUUGUUCUUCUGGAUCCAUGGUUUGACUAUGCAAUAAAUGUCUCAUAAGUAUGUAUUAGCUGUCUCCCACCUAUGAGCUCCAAUAUCAAAACCUUAUUAGAGUAGGGGGCGAGAGAAGGCAAUGUCACUAUGCCUCAUACCAAAAAUACCACAUACUUUGAGAGAAGGCAUACACAUUUACUGCCUUGGUAAGGAUCCAGAAAUACCACAAAAGAGAGACUAGAGAGAGUCAUACAAGGAAUCUCUGAGUUUUAUUUGAAAAUCUGCAAAAACUCCAGAGCUAUAGUUAAUCGAAGAACAAGAGACAUGGCGCUUGACUAGACCGUUCUAUCUUUGAACUGCUCAAGACGCAAGUGAUGGUUGUAAGCCCCA